RNAcentral lists this long non-coding RNA (52656 nucleotides) under Hordeum vulgare. RNAcentral describes it as "long non-coding RNA (HVUL_LNC017050)". The record is from RNAcentral. Lineage: Eukaryota; Viridiplantae; Streptophyta; Magnoliopsida; Poales; Poaceae.
GGAAGAUACUUCACCAUAGAUCUUACUCAGCGAGGUUGCAUACAUCGAAAUCAUAUUCAGAUCUUCACGCCGUCGAUGGCUAGUGUCCCAGUGGCAUAAGUGUCAUGGUAUUUUUCUAUGUAGUCGUUGAGCUUGAUCUUCAUGUAUCGUGCAUGUCUCUUGUCAUCCACUAGCUCUAACACCGGCUCAAGUUGUGUCUCUAGCUCCAACGUAUACACCAACACCAACGACAAGCGCUCUUUCUCCGCGUUGGUGACAACCCUAUGCACGAGGCUCUUAAAAAACCCAUUGCUCAAAAUCUACAUGCAUAAGGAUGAAAUAGAGAGAUAUGUAUUACAUCUUAUCUAGACAAUCCAAAAACAAGGUCAAACAAUUAUACAUCAAUACAUGUAGCUGCCUACAAACACAUUACCUCCAUUACGUCCCCUAUGUUUAUAACCAGUGCAUUCGAAAUGAUGGGCACGUUGUACCAGACGCCGUUUUUCUCAAGCUGGAGCCCCUCAACGUCGGUGAAGUUGACGGUGAUUAUUGAGCCGUCGGUAUGGGCCUUGAGGCCCAAGACGUGGUCUGGCCUUGGACACUGAGGGUAGUAGUUGAAUAUAGCUUGGGUGAUGGAGUUGUCGCGGAUCAUGUUUACGAGGUGUUCCUCUUGUAAAUUGAACAUCUUGGCCAUGUUUUGAAGGACAAUGUUGGUCGCCGCUUUGCACCUGACCGUGUACUCACACAGGACCUCUCUGCACAGUUAUGGAUGUCGUGUUAAGACAAUUGUACCAUAUACUAGUAAUCAACUGUCGGAGUAUCAGUUUGAAAAUGGAUGUCGCUUUAUGCAUGCAUGAUAGCAGAAUCUCCAGCAGCAUGUACCAUGUAUAGAUGGUAAAAACUUACCCACAACCUUUUGGAGAGCAGAGCAGAGCAAGGCAAUAAUGGAGGGUGGUGCCCGUUUUGUAAUUGCUGGCUCAUGGUCUGCUGCUACCUACCACGCCUUGCUGCUAGUACCUACAAAUAAUGGAGGCUACUUCUGGAGAGUAAUGAAGACCACUAAAAGCAUAGUUAAUAGUAUAACCAACUGCUGGCUAUAAGCAGUCUUAUAACCCAUCUUAUAGCUAGCUUGUACAAUAGUUAGGUGUAAAAGAGUACUAAUUUUAUCAUAUAUGGUCCACCUUUCAUUUUCACAAAACACCUAGGAGCACGUGCUAGAGCUGGCUCUUCAUGAAGAGCCCGUUUCCCUUCUCUCUCCUCUUCUCUCUCAUCCAACUUAGCAAAAUAUAGUAUUUUAAUCCUUACAGCCUGCUGACUGUACCUUAUUGUACUUGCUCUAAAGGUCCGACUCUGACUUGCUGCCUCUACAGUGUGUGAGCGUGAGUGACCAGAAACCGAGAAAUAUGGAAAACUGUUUUUUGAAAAAGGAGAUUAACCCCGGCCUAUGUAACAAUCGAUGUAUACAACCAUCUUUACAGCAACUUCGACGGGACGAUCUAAACGGACGCGUGCUUUGUCCGCUUUGUAGUAAUUAACCUAGUUAUAGUCUAAAACGUGCACGUGCAAACCGAGUAGGAUUAGUAUUGCAAACCGAGUAGGACUUGUAGUUGGCUAGGUUAGGUACUAUCUAUACCUACCUAAUAAUAAAGCAGCUAUUGCUUCCGUCGAAAAACCCACCGCGGCAUUUUUAUAAAAAGCCCCUGCUACUAUUAAAAGAAACAAUUAUUCUUAGUCUCGCUUGCAAAAUAUAUUUUUAUUUCCACGUACAAAAUAAUUGUUCGAUCCUGCACGCAACGAAACAAAUCUUAGUCGGACACGCUCGCGUUCGUGCGUAGCACAUGUACGCUGGCCUAUACUAGGCCAUGUACUGCGCCUGCUGUGCGGUUACUUUGCCUAUAUGGGCCUUCUCUUAUGGACAUAAAUAAGUAACCGAAGAGUCACGUUGGGUAUAUUUCUGAUAGCUUGGUGUAUCAAGCAUGCAUGCAUGUUUCUAAAAAGAAAUAAAAUCAAGCAUGCAUGCAUGACCAACCAAAGAAGAUGAAAUUGACUAUUUGUGAAAGAGGCCAAUUAUCUAUGAUGGGAUGCAUCGUAUACCAGUAAACUAAACUACGAACAAAAAGAUUGCUUCGAUGGCCUAGAUUAGUUCAUCUUGAUUUCUUCCACUCACGUACGAUAGUGUGCAUCUGGAUGUGUAGCCUAAAUAAACAUGUUUGCCUACUUAAGUGUGUUUGCAUUCAUUUGUGAUUGUCAGUUCAUUAAUAAUAUAAGUUCAUAAGACAUAAAUUUGAAUUGUUUGGAAUACAUGUACUCAAUAUUCUUUCAUGCUUUUAUUUCCUGAUUUGUUCAUGAAAUACACAUCGAGUUAGUGUAUACUCCCUCUGUAACUAAGCAUACAGAACAUAUUGAAGUUUUGCUCAAAGAGAGAAAGAGAGACCUUAGAACUGAACACAUUUGAACACAUUAUCGUUGUAUGAGUGUUGAGGCCACUGUCGUCAACACAAAUAUGAUUCCAUGUGAAACUAAAAGACGUGGGACUAUUAAGGUUUUGAGUCAUGGUUAUUGGGUUAAAAACGUGUGUUAUUUUUUCCGUUGCAACGCACGGGUUUUUUGCUAGUAUAAUCCUAUGUAUCCCUUGUAACAGAUCAGAUCAAUCAAAGCAAUAAACAAAACAUGUGCGACACGCACACGAUUUGGCAAACAACUCGCGUCAGGUGUUUUCUCCUCGCGUGUGUUCCGGCGACUUAGUACGUAGGUGUGUACGUACUUGUCCGGCUCGCCGAUCACGUUUGUCUCCAAGCCAAGAAUCGAUCCACGUCUGCGACUCCCACGGAAAGUGCUCGUUUACGAGCAGUGUGACGUAUAUCGGGAUCAAGUGCCAACAAUUGGUAUCUAGAGUCUCGACGAUCUACGAUCUACGAUGACGGACAGCGACGCUGAGUCGGUCAAGUCCGGUAAAGACGGUGCCAAGACGAACAUGAACAGCGACAAGGUGAAAAAUGACGGCAAGUCAGCAACCAGUGGUGAAGGGAUGGACGACGCCAACGUUCAGGCGCAUCGCAACAUCUUCUUCCAGUACUCUCUUAGGAAAGACAAACUGCUCUAGAAAAAGAGCUAGACAAAGACACUCUCCAACUUUCCCCUGGGAAGACUAGUAAUGUCACGUGAGAUUAUGCAAAACCCGUUUCUGUAUAUGGGCUUCGCAUUUUUUGGAACUGACAAUCCAUGCAGUUGUUAUAAGGGCGACACUUGAUUUUCCUGUCCUGGUUUUCUAAACGGAUCGAAAACCGGGUUAAUGUAAAACCCGUUUUUCUGCGGUGCGUUUAAGCUAACGCUGAGAAUAUAUAUACAUUCAGGCAACAAACACACAUUCGGGCUAACGUACAUACACAUGUCAGCUUCUAAUUGACUGAAAAAACGACUCAAAGCCAUUUGAAUUUUAGUCGAAUGUCAAAUAAACUCUUUGGAUCUAGUGUUGUACAGGAUUUAUCCCAAUAACCAUAUUUAUUGUAUUAAAGGGACUUGCCUGUGUGUCAGGGAUUGGGUUGUUAAUUUAGGCCUGCAAGGUUUAUCUGACUAAAAUUCUUUAAUUAUCUGGCAGUCAUCUGUUUGUUCCAAGUCCAGAGGGAUAGCUGACUCUAGAAUAGGACCUACAACCCAUUGAACCUUGGAAUUUUAGUAGUUUAGCAUCAUACCUGACCUAUUGCCCAAGCAGCUCUAACUCUAGUAUUAGAUUCACCGAGAGGAAGAAUACUGCUUUAGGUGAUUAGUUGGUCAUUAGCUACUUAUAUGCCAGAUAUUUUUAUUCUUUCUGUCAAAUCAGCAAAUGCAGAAUACCGUUAGUUAGAUAUGCAAUGAUAAUUUAACUGCACUUUGUAGCUUCGGCCUUUGGGCUUGUCAAAAGCAGAAAUUGGCUACUGUAGGAGUGCUUAUGCUAAAUUGCACGCUGCGACUGCAGAGCAACUAUAUCAGCUUAACCGAUCUUUCAGAACAUUGCUCAAGUUCUGAAUAUCUACAAUCCCUGGACUAACAAUAUGAUUGAUUUAAUUUCAUGUUCAGAAAGAGUGCAAAAUAGCAAAUGUGCAUGUGUAUGGGGCAUUACUGCUCUCUGGUCUCCAUGUCGAUGCAAUGAACCAAGGUUGUACUCCCUCCGUUCCUAAAUAUAAGACCUUUUAGAGAUUCCACUAUAAACUACAUACGGAUGUAUGUAGUCAUAUUUUAGGAUGUAGAUUCACUCAUUUUGCUCCGUAUCUAGUCUAUAAUAAAAUCUCUAAAAGGUCUUAUAUUAAGGAACGGAGGGAGUACAUGUUAAAAGAAAGAACAAUGGACAGACAGUGCGAAAGGCACUGCUGAAAAUACAGAACAACUAUAUACCAUGAUGGGUUUUUCUUUCAGUCUAGAACAGAAUGAUGAAGGUUCUUGUAGCGCUCUUGUCGGCUCAUGGCAGCUGGGCUGAUAUGUCUUCUGUUGUCACUGUCCUGCCUGUGCACCAGGCUAUACACUGAACAAGUGAAACAUGCUAAACUUGUUGAAAUUGGUAGUGGACUUUAGGCCCAUUAGAGAAUUUCAGAAAAAUCUUUAAGGGCCCAUGUAUGUGGUGGCAUGACAAGGUGGUGGGAAGUUUAGUCGUACCCCGCUAGUGGAGGAGAAGUUGGACCCCUUUAUAAGGAUCUCUCUUCCACAUGCUAUUGGAGAGUGAGAAGAGAAGGUGUCCUCGCGCACUCCUCCUCCGCCGCCCACCUCGCCACGCCUCGUCACGACGCACCGCAGGUUGCGGGAAUGAGCCGAGCCGAGCUCAUACCUACGCGUUUAUUUUUGCCGGUCAGAAACGGGGAAUACAUAACGGACACGGCACGAUCCGAGACGUCGGAUCGUGGGCUGUUACCGACUCGGACGUGGGUUCGGCCCACGUCUCUCCACCCAGCCGCCUUUAUAAGCAGGCUGUCGCCUACCCUAGCCGUCACGAGAAUCAGAUCACAUCUGCCUCACGCGUUCGUUCCUUUUACUGCUGCUGCCGCCGGCGACUCCGUCCCGUUUACCGCGUACACGGUCGACGGGAGAGCAGGCCUCCGAAACCCCGCCUCUCCGGUUCCUGUACGGGAGAGGGGCAAUUAGGUUUUUGGGGAGCGAUCACGCGACUGCUCUCCUCCGUCCGUCUGCUUCGUCUACGUCCGCGUCGCCCUCGUCAUCGUCAUGUCUUCACCAAGCGAAGCUGACCGUCUCGUCCGCGAGAAAGCCGAAGCCAAGAAGAAGGUGGCAGAGGAUGCUGCCGCCGCCACCGCUGCUGCUACGGCCAAUUGGCCGAUCGGAGGGUAUGAUAUAUUUAUCCCUCUCCUGUUUCUGUCUGCAAUAGUAGUACUGCCUAUAUGCGUAGAUGUUUCUGCUAUAUGCGUAGUACUUGCUAGUAUACUCCGUGAUCAGUAUGUCAUGAACCUAGUCAAUGCUAUGUUAGUAAUUAUUUCAUGGAUUAAUCUACUCGGAAAAUUGCCUAUUUACUCAACAAUCCAAAAACCUAAUAUGUGUAGGAAUUUUUUGAGUAAUGGUUUUGUUGUUGCACUGAAACCGGAUAAGUUUACCGGUACUUUUUUCAAGCGUUGGCAAACGAGAACCACCUUAUGACUCACGGCUAUGAAUGUGUUCUGGGUAGCCGGUGUCACUCCUACGGAAACUAUCACUCCUGAACAGGAGAAGAUGUUUAAGGAGGCCACCCUCCUAUUCCUUGGAGUAGUCAUUAGCGUGAUCGGAGAUAAGUUGGUUGAUGCAUAUUUACAUAUGCAUGUUGCCAAGGACUUGUGGGAGGCGCUCGAAUCUAAAUUCGGGGCCACCGAUGCUGGGAGUGAGAUGUAUGUUAUGGAGCAGUUCCACGAUUACAAGAUGGUUGACAACCGUUCUGUAUUGGAACAGGCUCAUGAGAUAAUAUGCAUAGCUAAAGAACUUGAGGUUCUUAAGUGCAAUUUGCCGGGCAAGUUUGUCGCGGGCUGUAUAAUUGCUAAGCUCCCUACUUCCUGGAGGAACUUUGCUACUACUCUGAAACAUCAGAGGCGUGAGUUCUCAGUAGAGGACAUCAUCGGCCAUCUGAGUGUUGAGUAGAACUCGAGAGCAAAGGACUCCAAUGGAAAAGCGGUGGAAAGCUCUUCUGCUGCCAAUAUGGUACAUCAGAGGAACCUCAAUUCCCACAAGCCCAAGGGAAAGAAUUCUGUCCAACAGAAUACCAACUUCAAGAAGAAGGGAAAGAAGCCCUUCAAGAAGAAUAAGAAGGGAGAUGGCUGCUAUACUUGUGGUUCAGAGGAACAUUGGGCGAACAAGUGCCCAAACAAGUACAAGAAGCCGGCGCAGGACUCCAAGUCUGCCAAUAUGAUUGUGGGCAACAAUGAAAGUGCUGCAUCUGGGUACGAUAAUUUACUUGCUGUAUUUACAGUUUGUCAGUCCACCGAUUGGUGGGUGGACACGGGUGCAAAUAUUCAUGUGUCCGUAUUGAUGGGGAAUGGCGCGAGUGCUUCUGUUCUUGGUGUUGGCACGGUCGAUCUGAAGUUUACUUCAGGAAGGAUCGUGCAGCUGAAGAACGUGCAGCAUGUCCCCGCCAUCAAGAAGAAUCUCGUUAGUGGCUCCCUUCUGUGUAGAGAAGGGUUUAAGUUGGUAUUCGAGUCUAAUAAAGUAUUAGUUACGAAAUAUGGACUUUUCGUUGGAAAAGGUUAUGAAUGCGGAGGUCUGUUCCGCCUUUCUCUUGCAGAUUUUUGUAAUAAAGUCGUGAACAAUAUUCAUUUGAGUGUUAAUGAAUCUGAAGUUUGGCAUUCACGUCUUUGUCACAUAAGUUUCGGUGUUAUGUCGCGGCUAGCAAAACUGAAUUUAAUCCCAACUUUCACUUUAGCCAAAGGUUCUAAGUGUCAUUCGUGUGUGCAAGCAAAGCAACCUCGCAAGCCUCACAAGGCUACAGAGGAGAGACACUUGGCACCAUUAGAACUCAUACAUUCUGAUCUUUGUGAGAUGAAUGGUGUGUUGACUAAAGGUGGAAAGAAAUAUUUCAUGACAUUGAUAGAUGAUUCCACUAGAUAUUGCUAUGUGUAUCUGUUAAAUACUAAAGAUGAGGCUCUACACUACUUUAAAAUCUAUAAGGCAGAAGUUGAGAAUCAACUUGAAAAGAAAAUUAAACGAGUCCGGUCUGAUCGUGGUGGAGAGUACUUCUCAAACGAAUUUGAUUCAUUUUGUGUGGAACAUGACAUUAUUCAUGAGAGGACGCCUCCCUAUUCACCCCAGUCAAAUGGGGUUGCCGAGCGGAAAAACCGUACUCUAACUGAUUUGGUUAACGCCAUGUUAGAUACAUCGGGUUUAUCCAAGGCAUGGUGGGGGGAGGCUAUAUUGACUGCGUGUCAUGUCCUGAAUAAAGUUCCUACAAAAGAUAAUGAGGUCACUCCCUACGAGGAGUGGUCGAAGAGAAGGACGACGCUCUCGUACUUACGUACUUGGGGCUGCUUGGCGAAAGUCAAUGUACCGAUCCCCAAGAAGCGUAAGCUUGGACCAAAGACUGUGGACCGCGUUAAUUUGGGAUACGCUAAGAAUAGCGUAGGCUAUAGAUUUCUAGUAGUGAAAUCUGAGGUACCUGACGUGAAGGUCGGUACAAUAAUGGAGUCGAGGGAUGCUACAUUCUUUGAGGAUAUAUUUCCCAUGAGAGAUAUGCAAAGCACUUCUAGACAGGAAUAUGAGAUAACUCCUGAGCCUGCCAUUCCUAUGGAAUAUUAUGAACAAACACAUGAUGAUAAUCCCGAGGAGGAUAACGAGGAAACCCUUGGUAGGGGCAAGAGACAAAGGACCGCAAAGACCUUUGGUAGUGAUUUCUUCGUAUACCUCGUGGAUGAUAAUCCCACUUCUAUUUCAGAAGCGUAUGCUUCUCCAGAUGCUGAUUACUGGAAAGCUGCGGUCCGUAGCGAGAUGGAUUCCAUCAUGGCUAACGGGACAUGGGAAAUCACUGAUCGUCCCUAUGGUUGAAAACCAUUGGGAUGCAAGUGGGUGUUCAAAAGAAGCUUAGGCCCGAUGGAACGAUUGAAAAGUACAAGGCUAGGCUUGUGGCCAAGGGCUAUGCCCAGAAAGAAGAAGAAGAUUUCUUUGAUACUUACUCACCUGUGGCUAGACUGAUCACCAUUCGAGUACUACUCUCAUUGGCGGCCUCUCAUGGUCUUCUCGUUCAUCAAAUGGACGUUAAGACGGCUUUCCUGAAUGGAGAGUGAUGGGGUUAUAGUCCUAGGGUAGGGUCAUAGGCCUGCCCUAUAAGUCCUACCCAAGGACUAUCCUUCAUAAGGGAUAAGGCCCUUAGUCAGUUCCGACUGAAUUAAGGACUUCCCAUCAUCUAGUCGGUGACGAAUCCUCCAUCAUCCAGUCGGAUAUGAGCAUUCAGAGUGUAUCAAAUUAACCGACUGGAUUCCACUCUGUGCAUCGUAACCCCCUGGAGGGAAACGGUCAUACGUUUCCAUGUGCCUUUAUUAGCAUUUAAGACAUACGUUACCUGUAACGUAGGCAUUUAUUCGCCACUACUCCACUCCUGUGCACCGAACCGUUGUGAAGGGCAGCGCACUCUAUAUAAGCCACCCUUCCCCACUGGUGCAAGGGUUAGCAAUUCACUGUAAUCCAUAUUCCACUCGACAACAAGCUCCCAGAGCACUGAGACGUAGGGCUAUUACCUCCACCGUAGAGGGGCCUGAACUCCUACAACCUCGCCGUAGCUAAGGCUCUGCCCAUCCUUUCGUACCCUACACAUCUACUGUCAGACUUAUACCCACGACAGCUGGCGCCCACCUUGGGGCAGGCGUCUAAGCGACUUCCGGCGAGUUUGCGACUACAUCUUUUCGUCAUGUCAUCCGGUGGAGAUUUGAGCAUGGGUCACGAGAUCCUCUUCGGCGCUCUCUCCUUCAUCGUCGACGAUUCGGCAUGGCUUCGGGACGCCCCUCUCGAUGUCGAGGCGCUCCCCAUCGCGGGGCUACGCACUUCCGUACCGGCGCCCGCGGUAUUCUUCUUCUCCAGCAGUCGGCUCCGGUGUCGACCUACACCGCCGUCACGCGCCGCAACAAGCGGUCCCGCCGUCCGUGGCUCUAGCGUUGGGUGCAACACGCCCAGGCGCGCCAGAACGCGUCUUCACAAGUGGCGGUCCUAGUGUCGGUUGUGGUUGCCCUGCCGUCCCAGCGCUCGGACUCGGUUCCGAUUGAGUUUCCUUCCGAGUACUUGGGUCGCGGGCCUACAGCAGAAGUGCACAUGGCCAACUCCCAUGAAAGUCCCCGCCAAACUGGCCGGAACGAGCACGAGAUCGGUGAAACAUCCGGCGCUCGCCGUCCGCCUCGCCGUUCUGCCAGUCGGCACACUCGGCGGAGCAACGUGGAGGUGUUCCGCACACCCAUCCUCAACCUGGCUGCCGCUGCCAAGAUAGCCGAUUCCCUUCAGCCGACUGAUUCAGAGGCUGGCAGGGGGAUCGAGCAAAUCCGCGCCCUACUGCACACGGCGCAGCAACAAAAUUCGGCGGUCUCCGAGUCGCACAACAGGAUCCACAAUAGUUUUGUUCAUGCGAACACGCAUCGGUCAGUUCACAACCCUGGUUCUCAUCAGCGACACAGGGGAGGCAGCCGUUCCAUAAAUCCCGAAGAUCGUCGCCGUUCACGCACCCCUCCGCGGGGUGGGCCCUACGGGCCCCGACAUCAUGAUGAUCGACAUUCAGUCGGUGACACUUACGAUCCUAGGCCUGACACGAGAGGGCAUAUCGCCCAGCGGAGGGUCGACAGGGGCCGAGCCCACCGCGAUGGUCACGAUAUGGACCGUCCGAGUGGAAGCAGGACCAUCGUUUCUGGUCCCGAGUGUUUCAGUCGAGCCAUCCGUUCGGCUGACAUCCCUCCCAACUUCCGAUUGGCGACGGGGAUCAGCAAGUUUACAGGAGAAUCCAAGCCAGAAACGUGGCUGGACGACUACCAAGUGGUAGUCCAGAUCGGAGGAGGGGACGACCACAUCGCCAUGAAGCAUCUCCCUCUGAUGCUCGAUGGCUCGACACGAGCGUGGCUGAACCAGUUGGCCCCCUCAAGCAUCUACAGCUGGGCAGAUCUGGCCCGAGUCUUCAUCAGGACCUUCGAAGGGACGUGCAAACGCCCUGCUGGCCUCGUGGAGCUCCAACAUUGUGUCCAGAAGCAGAAUGAGCCCCUGCGCGAUUUCAUUCAGCGUUGGACGACCCUCUACCACACGGUGGAGAACGUCACAGAGCACCAAGCAGUCUGCGCCUUCAAGGCAGGCGUGCGGUACAGAGAUUUGUACCUGAAGUUCGGUCGAACAGGCGACAUCUCCAUGAGCAAGAUGAUGGAGAUAGCGGCACGCUAUGCAAACAGUGAAGAAGAGGACCGCAUCCGUAGCGGCAAGCACAAAGCAGUGGCCGAUGGGGAUGGGAAUAACACUUGGAAGCAGAAGCAGAAAGCUCCGUCCACUCCGCAGGCAGAAGCCGCAACUGUUACCAAUGCCAAGUUCAAAGGCAAAGGGAAGGCUCAGUUCACCCCAAGAAGAAGCAGUUCAGUAACCCCAUCCUGGACCAGCCAUGCCCGAUUCACACGAAGAUGGAUGAAGAGGGCAACACCAUAUAUCCGAAGCAUACCGCUCGGCAAUGUCGCCUCCUGAUCUAGGGGUUUGGCGAAGGGCAACCGAGUGAAAAGGGCAAUGAACAGGAUGAGGAGGACAAGGAGGAUCCGUUCCUCCAAGUCCAUGCAACACUUAUGAUUUUUGCUGAUGUUGAGAGCAAGAGUCGACUGAAGCUGGUGAACAGGGAGGUGAACAUGGCCACGCCUACCAACCCCAAGUUCUUCAAAUGGUCUCAGACUGCGAUCACCUUUGACCAGUCGGAUCAUCCAGCACACGUACACACCCCAGGGAGACAGGCUCUGGUCGUCGACCCGGUGGUAGAAGGAGUCCGACCGCGGAAAGUCCUCAUGGACAGCGGCAGUGGCUUGAACAUCAUGUACGCCGACACUCUCAAGGGGAUGGGCAUUCCGAUGUCCAAACUCAGCGAGAGCAGCAUGCAGUUCCAUGGAGUCGUCCCUGGACGAAAGGCCAAGUCACUCGGCCAGAUCGCGUUGGACGUCGUUUUCGGCUCCGACAAGAACUUGCGCAAGGAAAAGCUGACGUUCGAGGUGGUGGACUUCCAGAGCGCGUACCACGCAAUUCUGGGCCGCCCGGCGUAUGCGUGUUUCAUGGCCCGUCCAUGUUACGUGUACCUGAAGCUGAAGAUGCCAGGCCCGAAAGGUGUGAUCACUAUCACAUGCAAUCGAUAGUGAGCCGAGGAGUGUCUACAGCAGGGAUCAAGGAUCGCCGAUCAGCAGAUGGCUGUCUUCGAGCUUGACGAAUACAAGAAAACAGUCGACCCCGCUGACUUGAUGCGUGCGAAGAAGCCAGCUUCGGAGUCCGCAUUCCAGUCGGCGGGAGAGACGAAGAAGGUCAGCAUCCACCCGACGGACGACACCGCUGCCCCAACGAACAUCUCCACCACCCUCGAUCCUAAAUAGGAAGCCGAGCUCAUCCAAUUCCUUCGUGAGAACUGGGAUAUCUUCGCAUGGAAGCCCUCUGACAUGCCAGGUGUACCCAGGGAGUUGGCUGAGCACCGACUGUAUGUGGAUCCCGCCGCUCGGCCUGUUCGAGAACGCCUGCGUUGGUCCGCCGUGCACAAGAGGAAGGCAAUCGGAGAAGAGGUGGCCAAGCUUUUGGCAGCCAACUUCAUUCGCGAGGUACACCACUCCGAGUGGCUCGCCAAUGUUGUCAUGGUGCCCAAGAAGGACAAGUCGCUCCGAAUGUGCAUCGACUUCAAGCAUCUCAAUAAGGUCUGCCCGAAAGACCAUUUUCCGCUCCCCGCAUCGAUCAAAUUGUCGAUUCGACUGCGGGUUGCAAGCGUUUGUCAUUUCUUGAUGCCUACUCGGGCUAUCAUCAGAUCCGUCUGUAUGGCCCCGAUGAAUUAAAAACCGCCUUCAUCACCCCAUUCGGGUGCUUCUACUACAUCACUAUGCCAUUUGGUUUGAAGAAUGCAGGAGCAACCUUUAUGCGCAUGAUCCAAAAAUGCCUCCUCGACCAGAUCGGUUGGAAUGUGGAGGCGUAUAUGGAUGAUAUCGUAGUCAAGUCACGCAAAGGUUCCGACCUGCUGACUGACUUGGCAGAAACAUUCGCCAACCUUCGUAGGUACGAUAUCAAGCUCAACCCAGCCAAGUGCUCAUUCGGUGUUCCCAGCGGAAAGUUACUCGGUUUCUUCGUUUCCGAACGAGGGAUCGACGUCAACCCCGAAAAGAUCGAGACCAUCGUCCGAAUGGAGCGGCCGGUCAGAAUACACGAUGUUCAAAGGCUCACAGGUUGGCUAGUGGCUUUGAGCAGGUUUAUCAGUCGACUCGGCGAGAAGGCACUUCUCUGUACCAACUCAUGAAAAAUCAGAUACUUUCGAGUGGACAGACGAAGCCCAAGUCGCAUUCGAUGACCUCAAAGUCCUACUUUCCACCCAGCCGGUUCUUACUGCUCCGCCCAGUAAAGAGCCCCUUCUUCUGUACAUCGCGGCUACAAAUCAAGUCGUCAGCACUGUUCUCACAGUCGAACGAGAAGAAGAAGGCAAAGCAUACAAAGUUCAGCGGCCAGUGUAUUACGUCUCCGAAGUCCUGACUCCUUCCAAGCAGAGGUAUCCCCACUAUCAAAAACUUAUCUACGGGAUUUACAUGACUGCGAAGAAGGUGGCUCAUUAUUUCCAAGACCACUCGGUGUCCGUCGUUUCUGAUGCUCCGUUGUCGGAAAUCCUCCACAAUCGGGACGCAUCGGGCCGAGUGGCGAAGUGGGCAAUGGAGAUGUUGUACUGCGACAUCAAGUUCGAGGCCAAGAAAGGUAUUAAGUCUCAAGCUCUGGCUGACUUCAUAACAGAAUGGGUAGAACAACAGCAACCGACCCACAUCUACUCGGCUCAUUGGACAAUGUUCUUUGAUGGGUCCAAGAUGUUGAAUGGCUCCGGCGCUGGCGUUGUGAUCAUAUCGCCAAAGGGUGACAAACUCAAAUAUGUGUUGCAGAUACACUUUGAUUCCUCCAACAACGAGGCUGAGUAUGAAGCUCUCCUUUACGGACUGCACAUGGCCAUCGCACUCGGCGUCCGUCGCCUGAUGGUCUAUCGCGAUUCGGAUUUGGUGGUUAAUCAAGUGAUGAAGGAGUGGGACGUCAGGAACCCCACCAUGACCACAUACUGCAAUGCAGUGAGGAAGCUUGAGAAAAGUUCGAAGGUCUAGAACUCCACCAUGUUCCGCGACUGAAGAACCAGGCAGCUGAUGAGUUGGCAAAACUCGGAUCCACUCGGGGACCAGUCCCGAGUGACGUCUGCCUCGAGCACCUCCACCUUCCCUCAGUUAAAGAAGAUCUGUUCACAGAGGAACCAGUACAACCAAAGAGCUCAACAGAUCCGACUGAAGUCGACGUACCUGCUGUGGUUGAUUUGAUCAUGGAGAUUCUUGCUGUCAUCCCCGAUUGGACUGUGCCGAUCAUUGCAUAUAUCCUGAGGCAAGAAUUACUAGAAGACAAAGUCCAAGCCAGAUAGAUCGUCCGUAGGUCAAAGUCGUUCACUGUCAUCGACGGCCAGUUGUACAAGGAAAGCGUUUCAGGCGUUCCUCAACGAUGCAUCUCCCCAGAGGAGGGACAGUUAAUCCUGGAGGAAAUUCACUCGGGAACCUGCGGUCAUCACGCCUUUUCAAGAGCAAUCGUCGCCAAAGCAUUCAGAGCUGGCUUCUUCUGGCUGCAGGCAAAUGAAAUGGCGAAAGAUAUGGUCGACCGAUGUGAAGGCUGUCAGUUCUACUCUAACAAGUCCCACAAGCCAACAUCUGCGUUGAAGACAAUCCCUCUUGUUUGGCCGUUUGUGGUAUGCGGAUUGGAUACAGUCGAUCCAUUCAGGACAGGCCAAGGGGGAUUCACACAUCUGUUGGUGGCAGUCGACAAGUUCACAAAGUGGAUCGAAGCCAAGCCCAUCAAGAAGCUCGACGCCCUAACAACCAUCAAGUUUGUCAGGGACAUCAUCUCCAGAUUCGGGGUACCUCACAGCAUAAUCACUGACAACGGAACAAACUUUGACUAGGACAGAUUCAAAGGUUUCUGUACAAGCCAAGGUAUCCGAGUGGAUUUUGCAUCUCUGGCGCAUCCCCAAACAAACGGGCAAGCAGAGCGGGCAAAUGGACUUAUUCUGCAAGGUUUGAAGCCUCGACUCCUGCGAGAGGUGGGACAUGCCGCUCGCGCAUGGGUCACCGAGCUACCUUCGGUGCUUUGGGGUCUCCGCACAACCCCAAAUAGAUCUACAGGGCGAUCCCCGUUCUUCCUCGUUUACGGAGCAGAGGCAGUCCUUCCGAGUGACUUGCUUCACAAUGCUCCACGGGUUGAACUCUUCUCCGAAGCUGAAGCAGAACAAGCAAGGCAAGACGGAGUGGAUCUUCUAGAGGAGGAGCGCGAGAUGGCACUGACUCACUCAACCAUUUAUCAACAAGAUCUGCGGCGUUUUCACGCGCGACACGUCUGGAGUCGUACAUCCCAAGCAGGUGACCUGGUGCUCCGAGUGGAUCAGCAGAGACCUCACAAGUUGGCUCCCGCCUGGGAAGGACCCUUCAUCAUCUCCAAGGUGCUGAACAACAGUGCAUACCGACUCUACAACAUCGACAGGGAAACGGACGAGCCGCGAGCAUGGAACGAAGAUCUUCUGAAGCGCUUCUACACGUGACCGUCGACUGAAGCAAUGUAAAGAACAAGUAUUGGUGAAAUAAUACAAAGCAGAUUGAGUUUUUGCAGAUUCGAAAUUCUUCCGCGGUCGCAGACUCCAGUCUCAAAAAAACUUAGCUGCGAUCACGAAUCGCCUAAGUAUUAACUUUCUCUGAGUGUGCACUUAACAUCGCACUCGGGGACUUAGCUGCGAUCCAGAAUCGCCUAAGUACUAACUUUCUCCGAGUGUGCACUUAAUGUCGCACUCGGGGACUUAGCUGCGAUCCAGAAUCGCCUAAGUACUAACUUUCUUUGAGUGUGCACUUAACGUCGCACUCGGGUCGCUAGCUGCGAUCCAGAAUCGCCUNNNNNNNNNNNNNNNNNNNNNNNNNNNNNNNNNNNNNNNNNNNNNNNNNNNNNNNNNNNNNNNNNNNNNNNNNNNNNNNNNNNNNNNNNNNNNNNNNNNNUUCUACAGGCUCAAACUAGUUUGAGGGUCGGACCUCUAAAAUAUUUACGGGUUUAAGGGUUUAAGAGUUCUAGUCUACGCCGUUUUUCGGACGAAAACCGUAAAAAACAGUUAUUUUAAGGGUUUGGGGUUUGAGGGUUCUACUAGAGAUGCUCUUACGUCUGUUGAUCUAUGAAGCAGACAGCAUCUAGGCUUCCGAGGAAGACUUUGGAAUAUACUCUCUGUUUUCAUUUUGAGGGGGUCUUUGGAAUAUACGCGUGCCUGGUGAAGCACCUCACAGCUUGAUCUUGACGGCUAUGAGCCAAGAGGUUCAACACCUGAGACCAGCCGGGGUUACCGUCCGUUUUAUAACUCCGUUCUUCUCGGAGAAAAACCGGUGAGAUAGUCUGGUCAAUCCAAAACUGAACAACCCUUAUUUAGGAAGUUAAAACAUCUGCAGGGCAGUAAAGAGAAACCAAAAGACGGCAGCAUCUUUUGCAGACAAUGUCAGACAUUGUAACUGUAGAUGAUAUCGAGUGCCAACUGUGGAUCUGCAAUAAUUUGUAAGUUGCAUUUCAGAGCCUUCAUCUGAUAUUCACCCUAGACAGGGUCAGUUAAGCUCAGCACGUUCACCUGUUCAGUGUAUAGUGCAAAUGCACAGUGACGACUCAAGACCUGUAUUUUCAACAGUGCCUUUUGCACUGGCUGUUGAUUGUUCUUUUAAUAUGUACUACAAUCUUGCUUCACUGCGUCGACAAGGAAACCUGAGAGCAGUAAUGCCCCAUACACAUGUGCAAAUUUGCUAUUUUGCACGCUUUCUAAACAGGAAAAUGAAACACUCAUUUUCGUUAGUCUAAUGACUGUAGAUGUCAGAACUUGAGGCAAUGUCCUGAAAGAUCAGUUAAGGUGAUUAGGCUGGUAUGAUCGCUCACCGGUCAUAUACUGCAACUCAACAAAAACACUCCUACAGCAGCCAAUUUCUGCCCUUUGACAAACCUGGAGCCACAAACUACAGUUGAAUUAUCAUUGCAUAUGUAACUAAUGGUAAAGGGUGGUUGAUUAUAUGGAAAGAAAAAAGCCCAUCUGGCAUAUGACCAAUUAAUCAUCAAAAAUAAAUAUUCUUCCUCUCAGUGAAUCUCAUACUAAGGUUAGAUUUGCUCAGGAUUAUGUAGCCACAGGUCAGGAAAGAUGCUAAACUACUACAAUUCCUGGUUGCUUGGGUUGCAUGUCCUAUUCUUGGGUCAGCUAUCCCUUCAGACUUGGAACAAACAGCAUGACCGGGAGAUACUUAAACAGUCUAUAUCUAAUAAUAAAGCGGCUAUUGCUUUCGUCGGAAAACCCACCACGGCAUUUUUAUAAAAAAGCCCUUGUAAUUUUGUUAUUCAACCCGUGCUCCAUCAUUUAUCUGCAACGCAAAAGGAAAAACGAUUCGCUGCAAAAAUUAUACCCGUACGCAUCGCCUCCUCCCGUCGAUCCUGGGCCACCCUGGCAUGUGCCUAGGCCGCCGCCACAUCACUCGCCGCCGCGGCCGACCUCAACCCCACCUCUGCCGAUCUCAACCCACCCGCCUCCGCGGUCGUACCUCUCCCUACUCACUGCCCCUGUUGCGGCGCUCGAGCGCAUCGCGUCGACCCUGCUCCACCCUAGGCUGUGCCCAGGCCGCUGCCACACCACUCGUCGCCGCGGCCGACCUCAACCACCACUGUUGUCGAUCUCAACCCACCCGCCUCCACGGCCGUACCUCUGCCCGCUUGCUGCCCCGUUUCGACGCUCGAGCACAACUUCUGGAUCAAAUCAACGCGACAGCUACAGUGACUGGGGAUGAUGCGUCUGCUCGAUGCAGAACGGCGGCGGCGCGCGGAUAAGACGCGGCGGAGCAAAUUACUUGCAGGUGGAGGCGGGCCUCCAUGACUCACACGGGGAACUCCGAGGUUAUGGCGCGGCAACAACGACUCCUUAUGGCCACAUAGAGGCGCCUAACCCUGGCUCUCCUCUUCGUAUCCUCUCCUCCGGCAGGAACUCAUCAUCUCGUGAGAUCCCCUCCCCAUGCCUCCAACCGUGUGCCAAGCACCGACAAGAAAAUUUGUUUUAUGGUGAUUUAUUUACUGAUGAAUGAAUGUAUUGAAUGUAAGAUUGUAUUGUUGUAGAGACAGAGAAUGAAACACCACCUUCAGUUUGUCAUCUGAUCCCACAUUCUCUACCCCAUGAAUGAAAUAAGAUAACAGUCAAUUGAUCAAUUCAGGUAGCCUCUUUGUUUUGCUUUGCUUGUCCCGCUCAAUUUCUCAUCAUGAUAAAAUUAACAAUGGACGGGUUGAUUUCUCAACAAAAUAGGAUAGGACUGACUACAUUAGUUAGUUAGCUUAUUAUUUUAAUAAAUCAAACUGAUUAUAAAAAGACUAAAAGCGUGUGGUAUUUUUUCUCCCGUUGCAACGCACGGACCCUUUUGCUAGUAUUAGUCAAAUAAACCUAACAGAACCACAGCUUAUUCAAGUACCUAGGUUAACAAGCACGCACAUAGCAAAUGCAAGCAUAGUAAAUACAAUCGCACGAGAAGGCCAAAUGAAAACUGACAAGCAUUCUCUGAUGAUAUAUACAAGACAAUAUUAUUAUUACUACUAGAGGAUCGAACACUUAUUAUUUAGGAGGGCUGACAAUCUCGAGUGCAAGCUAACAGGAAGUCAGUUCAGAACUUGGAUCAAACUGCAUCGAAUUGGGACGUGUUCCAUGCUUUAAAAAAAGCAGUACAAGAACUUUGGAAACAGAUCCUGUCAACAACACAAAAAUAAAUAAAUCCAAAUAUCGUACGCCAUCACUUUCAGAAUUAAAACAUCUGCGCGGCGGCAGUAAAUAGUUGACAUAUAAUCUAAAAAUAGUGGAUGACAUCAUGCACCAACCAAUUGCACUUCAGAGACUUCACACAGAGUCAGUUUUGUUGAGUAAAUAGGCAAUUUUCCGAGUAGAUUAAUACAUGAAAUAAUUACUAACAUGACAUUGACUAGGUUCAUGACAUACUGAUCAGGGAGUAUACUAGCAAGUACUACGCAUAUAGCAGAAACAUCUACGCAUAUAGGCAGUACUAUUAUUGCAGACAAAAACAGGAGAGGGAUAAACAUAUCAUACCCUCCGAUCGGCCAAUUGGCCGUAGCAGCAGCGGUGGCGGCGGCAGCAUCCUCUGCCGCCUUCUUCUCGACUUCGGCCUUCUCGCGGACGAGACGGUCAGCUUCGCUUGGUGAAGACAUGACGAUGACGAGGGCGACGCGGACGUAGACGAAGCAGACGGACGGAGGCGAGCAGUCGCGUGAUCGCUCCCCAAAAACCUAAUCNNNNNNNNNNNNNNNNNNNNNNNNNNNNNNNNNNNNNNNNNNNNNNNNNNNNNNNNNNNNNNNNNNNNNNNNNNNNNNNNNNNNNNNNNNNNNNNNNNNNGGGUGACGGGGAGCAUAGGCCKRKSGRSCAGCAGGGGACGACGCUAGGGCCGACGGGGACGAAGUGGUCGGGACGGCGGGCGGGGUGGUGGCCGGCGGUGUGUGUAGGGUCGGGAGAGAUGGCGGUGGAGGAAGGAUCCGGCGGAGUUGAGAGUCCCUCCGGUCUCUCGUCGCUAGUCCUCCCGGUCCUUUUGUUGGGGAACGUCGCAUGGGAAACAAAAUUUUCCUACGUGCACGAAGACCUAUCAUGGUGAUGUCCAUCUACGAGAGGGGAUGUGUGAUCUACGUACCCUUGUAGACCGUACAGCAGAAGCGUUAGUGAACGCGGUUGAUGUAGUGGAACGUCCUCACGUCCCUCGAUCCGCCCCGCGGACUAUCCCGCGAUCAGUCCCACGAUCUAGUGCCAAACAGACGGCACCUCCGCGUUCAGCACACGUAUAGCUCGACGAUGAUCUCGGCCUUCUUGAUCCAUCAAGAGAGACGGAGAGGUAGAAGAGUUCUCCGGCAGCGUGACGGCGCUCCGGAGGUUGGUGAUGAUCUCGUCUCAGCAGGGCUCCGCCCGAGCUCCGCAAAAACGCGAUCUAGAGGUAAAACCGUGGAGAUAUGUGGUCGGGCUGCCGUGGCAAAGUUGUCUCAAAUCAGCCCUAAAACCUCCGUAUAUAUAGGGGGAAGAGGGGGAGCCUUGCCUUGGGGUCCAAGGACCCCUAAGGGCUUCGGCCGAGCCAAGGGGGAAGGUCUCCCUCCCCAAACCGAGUCCUACUUGGUUUGGAAGGUGGAGUCCUUCUUCCCUUUCCCACCUCCUCCUUUCUUUUUUCUCUUUCUUUUUUCUUCCAAUGCGCAUAGGGCUCUUUUGGGCUGUCCCACCAGCCCACUAAGGGCUGGUGCGCCACCCUCAAUGCCUAUGGGCUUCCCCGGGGUGGGUUGCCCCCCCCCGGUGAACCCCCGGUGAAGUGGCUGUGGUGUUCCAGGCGGUGUCAAUUGUGAAACAAUUCCACAUUGUCUUAAGUGAGCACCAAACUCGAAACUCAGAUAUUCACCCCCACGAUCAGACCGUAGGAACUUGAUCUUCUUGUUACGAUGAUUUUCAACUUCACUCUGAAAUUGCUUGAACUUUUCAAAUGUUUCAGACUCGUGCUUCAUCAAGUAGACAUAACCAUAUCUACUCAAAUCGUCAGUGAAGGUGAGAACAUAACGAUAUCCGCCGCGUGCCUCCAUGCUCAUCGGACCACACACAUCGGUAUGUAUGAUUUCCAACAAGUCACUUGCACGCUCCAUUGUUCCGGAGAACGGAGUUUUAGUCAUCUUGCCCAUGAGGCAUGGUUCGCACGUGUCAAGUGAAUCAAAGUCAAGUGACUCCAAAAGUCCAUCGGCAUGGAGUUUCUUCAUGCGCUUUACACCAAUAUGACCUAAGCGGCAGUGCCACAAAAAUAUGGCGCUAUCAUUGUUAACUCUAACUCUUUUGGUCUCAAUGUUAUGUGUGUGUGUGUAUCACUAUCAAGAUUCAAUAUGGGCAAUCCUCUCACAUUGGGUGCAUGACCAUAAAAGAUGUUACUCAUAGAAAUAGAACAACCAUUAUUCUCUGACUUAAAAGAGUAACCGUCUCGCAAUAAACAAGAUCCAAAUAUAAUGUUCAUGCUCAACGCAGGCACUAAAUAACAAUGAUUCAAGUUCAUAACUAAUCCUGAUGGUAACUGAAGUGAAACUGUGCCGACGGCGAUUGCAUCAACCUUGGAACCAUUUCCUACGCGCAUCGUCACUUCAUCUUUCGCCAGCCUUCGUCUAUUCCGCAAUUCCUGUUUCGAGUUGCAGAUAUGAGCAACAGAACCGGUAUCGAAUACCCAUGCACUACUACGAGAGCCGGUUAAGUACACAUCAAUAACAUGUAUAUCAAAUAUACCUGAUUUUUCUUUGGCCGCCUUCUUUUCAGCCAGAUACUUGGGGCAAUUGCGCUUCCAGUGACCCAUACCCUUGCAAUAGUAACACUCUGUUUCAGGCUUAGGUCCAGCUUUGGGUUUCUUCGUCGGAUUGGCAACAGGCUUGCCGCUCUUCUUCGAAUUACCCUUCUUGCCUUUGCCGUUUCUCUUGAAACUAGUGGUCUUAUUCACCAUCAACACUUGAUGCUCUUUACGGAGUUCAGACUAUGCGACUUUCAGCAUCGCAAACAACUCGCCGGGAGACUUGUUCAUCCCUUGCAUGUUGUAGUUCAACACAAAGCCUUUAUAGCUUGGCGGCAGGGAUUGAAGGAUUCUGUCAGUGAUAGCUUCUUGCGGGAGUUCAAUGCCCAGCUCAGCUAGACGGUUUGAGUACCCAGACAUUUUGAGCACAUGUUCACUGACAGACGAAUUCUCCUCCAUCUUGCAAGCAUAGAAUUUAUCGGAGGUCUCAUACCUCUCGAUCCGGGCGUUCUUCUGAAAGAUAAACUUCAACUCUUGGAACAUCUCAAAUGCUGCAUGAUGCUCAAAGCGACGUUGAAGUCCCGGUUCUAAGCCAUACAAGACUGCACAUUGAACUACUGAGUAGUCCUCCUUACGUGCUAACCAAGCGUUCUUAACAUCCUGAUCAGCCGUAGCGGGUGGUUCAUCUCCUAGCGCAGCAUUAAGGACAUAAUCCUUCUUCCCAGCUUGUAAGAUUAGCUUAAGAUUACGAGCCCAGUCUACAAAGUUGCUUCCAUCAUCUUUCGACUUAGCUUUCUCUAGGAACGUAUUAAAAUUGAGGGUGACUGUCGCGUGAGCCAUGAUCUACAACACAAAUAUAUGCAAAGUGGACUUAGACUAUGUUCAAGAUAAUUAGAGUUUAACUUAAUCAAAUUACUCGCUAAACUCCCACUCAAAAGUACAUCUCUCUAGCCAUUUGAGUGGUUCAUGAUCCACUUACACUAGCUCAAGUCCGAUCAUCACGUGAGUUGAGCAUAGUUUCAGUGGUAAGCAUCCCCAUGCUAAUCAUAUCAUCUAUAUGAUUCAUGAUCGACCUUUCGGUCUCAUGUGUUCCGAGGCCAUGUCUGCACAUGCUAGGCUCGUCAAGCUUAACCCGAGUGUUCCGCGUGCGCAACUGUUUUGCACCCGUUGUAUGUGAACGUUGAGUCUAUCACACCCGAUCAUCACGUGGUGUCUCGAAACGACGAACUGUAGCAACGGUGCACAGUCGGGGAGAACACAAUUUCGUCUUGAUAUUUUAGUGAGAGAUCACCUCAUAAUGCUACCGUCGUUCUAAGCAAAAUAAGGUGCAUAAAAGGAUUAACAUCACAUGCAAUUCAUAAGUGACAUGAUAUGGCCAUCAUCACGUGCUCCUUGAUCUCCAUCACCAAAGCAUCGGCACGAUCUUCUUGUCACCGGCGCCACACCAUGAUCUUCAUCAACGUGUCGCCAUCGGGGUUGUCGUGCUACUCAUGCUAUUACUACUAAAGCUACAUCCUAGCAAAAUAGUAAACGCAUCUGCAAGCACAAACGUUAGUUAUAAAGACAACCCUAUGGCUCCUGCCGGUUGCCGUACCAUCGACGUGCAAGUCGAUAUUAUCUAUUACAACAUGAUCAUCUCAUACAUCCAAUAUAUCACAUCACAUCAGUGGCCAUAUCACAUCACAAGCAUACCCUGCAAAACAAGUUAAACGUCCUCUAAUUUUGUUGUUGCAUGUUUUACGUGGUGACCAUGGGUAUCUAGUAGGAUCGCAUCUUACUUACGCAAACACCACAACGGAGAUAUAUGAGUUGCUAUUUAACCUCAUCCAAGGACCUCCUCGGUCAAAUCCGAUUCAACUAAAGUUGGAGAAACUGACACCCGCCAGUCAUCUUUGAGCAACGGAGUUACUCGUAGCGAUGAAACCAGUCUCUCGUAAGCGUACGAGUAAUGUCGGUCCAAGCCGCUUCGAUCCAACAAUACCGCGGAAUCAAGAAAAGACUAAGGAGGGCAGCAAAACGCACAUCACCGCCCACAAAAACUUUUGUGUUCUACUCGAGAAGACAUCUACGCAUGAACCUAGCUCAUGAUGCCAGUGUUGGGGAAUGUCGCAUGGGAAACAAAAAUUUUCCUACGCGCACGAAGACCUAUCAUGGUGAUGUCCAUCUGCGAGAGGGGAUGUGUGAUCUACGUACCCUUGUAGACCGUAUAGCAGAAGCGUUAGUGAACACGGUUGAUGUAGUGGAACGUCCUCACGUCCCUCGAUCCGCCCCGCGAACUAUCCCGCGAUCAGUCCCACGAUCUAGUGCCAAACGGACGGCACCUCCGCGUUCAGCACACGUACAACUCGACGAUGAUCUCGGCCUUCUUGAUCCAGCAAGAGAGACGGAGAGGUAGAAGAGUUCUCCGGCAGCGUGACGACGCUCCGGAGGUUGGUGAUGAUCUCGUCUCAGCAGGGCUCCGCUCGAGCUCCGCAAAAACGCGAUCUAGAGGUAAAACCGUGGAGAUAUGUGGUCGGGCUGCCGUGACAAAGUUGUCUCAAAUCAGCCCUAAAACCUCCGUAUAUAUAGGGCGAAGAGGGGGAGCCUUGCCUUGGGGUCCAAGGACCCCUAAGGGCUUCGGCCGAGCCAAGGGGGAAGGUCUCCCUCCCCAAACCGAGUCCUACUUGGUUUGGAAGGUGGAGUCCUUCUUCCCUUUCCCACCUCCUCCUUUUUUUCUCUUUGAUUUUUUCUUCCAAUGCGCAUAGGGCUCUUUUGGGCUGUCCCACCAGCCCACUAAGGGCUGGUGCACCACCCUCAAUGCCUAUGGGCUUCCCCGGGGUGGGUUGCCCCCCGGUGAACUCCCGGAACCCAUUCGUCAUUCCCGGUAGAUUCCCGGUAACUCCGAAAACCUUCCGGUAAUCAAAUGAGGUCAUCCUAUAUAUCAAUCUUCAUUUCCGGACCAUUCUGGAAACCCUCGUGACGUCCGUGAUCUCAUCCGGGACUCCGAACAACAUUCGGUAACCAACCAUAUAACUCAAAUACGCAUAAAACAACGUCGAACCUUAAGUGUGCAGACCCUGCGGGUUCGAGAACUAUGUAGACAUGACCCGAGAGACUCCUCGGUCAAUAUCCAAUAGCGGGACCUGGAUGCCCAUAUUGGAUCCUACAUAUUCUGCGAAGAUCUUAUCGUUUGAACCUCAGUGCCAAGGAUUCAUAUAAUCCCGUAUGUCAUUCCCUUUGUCCUUCGGUAUGUUACUUGCCCGAGAUUCGAUCGUCAGUAUCCGCAUACCUAUUUCAAUCUCGUUUACCGGUAAGUCUCUUUACUCGUUCCGUAAUACAAGAUCCCGCAACUUACACUAAGUCACAUUGCUUGCAAGGCUUGUGUGUGAUGUUGUAUUACCGAGUGGGCCCCGAGAUACCUCUCCGUCACACGGAGUGACAAAUCCCAGUCUCGAUCCAUACUAACUCAACGAAGACCUUCGGAGAUACCUGUAGAGCAUCUUUAUAGUCACCCAGUUACGUUGCGACGUUUGAUACACACAAAGUAUUCCUCCGGUGUUAGUGAGUUAUAUGAUCUCAUGGUCAUAGGAACAAAUACUUGACACGCAGAAAACAGUAGCAAUAAAAUGACACGAUCAACAUGCUACGUCUAUUAGUUUGGGUCUAGUCCAUCACGUGAUUCUCCUAAUGACGUGAUCCAGUUAUCAAGCAACAACACCUUGUUUAUAAUCAGAAGACACUGACUAUCGUUGAUCAACUGACUAGCCAACUAGAGGCUUGCUAAGGACAGUGUUUUGUCUAUGUAUCCACACAUGUAUAUAAGUCUUCAUUCAAUACAAUUAUAGCAUGGAUAAUAAACGAUUAUCUUGAUACAGGAAUUAUAAUAAUAACUAUAUUUAUUAUUGCCUCUAGGACAUAAUUCCAACACCUUUUUUUCUGAGCGCUAGUCACUAGCCCAAGGAAGGAUCGGGUACGGAAUGACGAUAUACGAGAGAGACUUGGGGUAGCACCGAUUGAAGAGAAGCUGGUCCAACAUCGUCUCAGAUGGUUUGGACAUAUUCAAUGGAGGCCAUCGGAAGUGCCGGUGCAUAGCGGACGGAUAAAGCGUGUUGAGAAUGUUAAGAGGGGUCGUGGUAGACCAAACUUGACAUGGAAGGAGUCCGUUAAGAGAGACCUGAAGGUUUGGAAUAUCGACAAAGACUUAGCCAUGGACAGGGGUGCGUGGAAGUUAGCUAUCCACGUUCCAGAGCCAUGACUUGAUUUCGAGAUCUUAUGGGUUUCAACUCUAGCCUACCCCAACUUGUUUGGGACUGAAAGGCUUGGUUGUUGUUGUUGUUUUGUUGCUAGUCGCUAGCCCAAAGAAUAGCGUUAUAAUCUAGUCCAGUCAAUGUCAAGUAUCAGGUGGUUCAAUAAAAAUGUGAAGUAUCAGGUUGAGUUUAGCGUUAUGGUGGAUUAUGACAAUCCCGUUUGCCAAUCUUUUCUAAGUGCUUGGGUGACCUGUUUUUGCAUACCUUGGUGGCUAAUUUUUCACAUUUUUUACAAAAUAAGAAAAACGCAACACAGUUCGACAACCGCAAACUGAGCUUAGUAGUACAUAACUUGUCUGGUUCCACCAAAUUAGAUUUUCGUUUUCUCUCGAUUAAUUGAGCAUUUUGAUACAGUGCAUAUUUUACCAAAUACCGUGCCUUUUAUUCAUGUAUUAAAGAUUGUAUCAAAGAAAGUGAGACGAGGACAAAGAACCUGAAAUUAUCUCACUUUUUAGGCACCGGUUUGGGCAUAUAUACAUGCUUGGCACCUUGCUCAUGCCCUUAUGAACAGCGAGAUUGAUAAUAGAUCAGCAUUCUGCAUUCAUCGUUACAACUUACUCCCUUUGUCAACUAAUAUAAAAACGUUUAGGCCCUGUUUGAAACCAUAAUAGAUUAUGAUAAUCUGGAUUAUGAAGAUAGAUUAUAUAAUCUGGUUUAUAAAAAUAAUCUAAAUGGACAUGUUUGGAGGCCAGAUUAUAUAAACUGCAAUCCAGGUUUUACAUUGCAUAAUGACCUGUCUGUCCUCUGUUUUUAAAAGAAAGGAGGGUGGCGGUGGUAGGAAUGUAAUUACCUCCAACUUUACAAGGGUAAUGGGUCAUUAGCAAUCCAUAAUCUGAUUUUAGCUAGUGUAGAGUAGAUUAUGAGUUUUUAAUAAUCUGUCCAUCUAGUUUUUGUAAUCUACAUCAUAAUCUGUCCUGUUUGAAGACAAAAUAGAUUAUAAAAACUGGAUUAUAUAAUCUGGAUGGUUCUAAACAGGGCCUCAGAUCACUACUUUGAUGAUCUAAACGCUUUUAUAUUAGUUGACAAAGGGAGUACAAGUUAUGGUAUAGUGCUCCCAGCCUUAGGUCAGGUAAAUGUGCAGUAGACCAGCAUUAAUCGGUACACCAGUAUAUUAUUUUACUAUGGCGCAACCGAAUAUACAUAUAUAUGAUAAUUCCUCAAAACAACAGUGACGAAAAUAGUGUAAAAAGAGAAGAAUGUCAUCGAAUAUUCAUUUCUGAGCCUAGGCUCAUCGGCUUUCUGCGGAAUGGUAAUACCGGGGAAAAUGCUGGAAUGUAUAAUCGUUCAUCGCGGUCCACAGCUGCAUUGGCAGCAAAGACAAGGUGGACAAAUGGGCCCGGCUUCUGCAAAAAACACACACAACUUGGUUAUAGGUUACUACUCCCUCUGCACCUAAAUUACUGUAGUUGAAGAAAACUAGACUAGUUCUCCCAACUACUAUUAUUUAGGUAUAGAGAAAAUACAACUCUACAUGUAUAUCUGGUAAUAAAAGGAACCACGUUACCCAUCUUCACUAUAAUGGCCUUAACUUCUAGCAAAGCAUAGGACAUCCAAUCAAAUUACUUUGUAAUGAAUUUUAACUCCAUGUUAGUUAAUUUUGGCCUCACAGACUUGUAUUUGUAAUUUUUAUAUAAAAUAUGUCUUAGAACAUUUUGUUCUACGGUUAGAGGUUUCAAAAAAAAACUCCAUGUUAGUUCUAGAGGCUGGGGGUGUGCCCUCCUUUUCGAAUAAUAAUAAUAACAAUAAUAAUAAGGGUUUCUACUAUAUUAAACCUAAGGUGAUCUACUCCUGAUGGCUCAUCAGAGUGUAUCAGGUGAAAAUGAGAACAUUCCUGGAAUCAAACUAAUAGUCAGGAUAUCAUGAGAUGCAGGGAGAUUAUUUGUCCUGGUAGUUCCCGCAAAAAGAACAAAUAGUAAAACUAAAAGUAGACAUUGCCUUAUUAAAAAACUCCAUUUCUGUGAAUAAAACUGGUAUCAACCUGCUCUAAAGAAAGCUACAGAUUUCACUUAGUAGAUUCGCAAGGCAGAGUACAUACGUGAUGAAGAUGCCGCACGGUUCAGGAAAACGAGCAGAAUGAUCCCAGUUGUAACAACUCGAAGAACCAAGAGGUACCACCAAGCCAUUGUGAGGCAAAUGAAGGCAGCUGCAUUCACUAUGGUUGGUUCUUAUGCUUCGUCUUCGUCUAAAUAAAGGAUCUGUACCGGUAAUACAGAAAACAUGCAACAACUAAACAAGAACUUUCAGUAACUUUGACUGGAAAGACAGUGAUGUUUUUUAUAAGACGGCAAAGUAAACAGAGAAAAUUUUGUCAAAGGUGAACAAGAAUCUUUGACCGGACCAUGUUGAAUGGGAAAUGGUAUUCCGAUGGCAGCGGCGUGCGUGCGUGCUCCUAUUUUUCUGCAUCAACUACUUGUUACGCAAAGCAGCACACGACGUUUUACGGAAACUUCUAAGUUUAAUAUGGUCACAUUAGUCACUGUCUACUAACGAAGUUGGACAGGUUCUUCUCCCGAAACUUUCAAAACAUCAUUGCCCCUAAUUUUCUUGUUCAGGGACAUUGACAAACCUCACAUUAGUUACGGUCUACUAACAAAGUUGGACAUGUUCCUCUCCUAGAACUUUCAGAAACGUCUUUGUCCCCAGCUGUCCUAUUCAGGGACAGAUAAACUUAUACGACUUGCAAACCUCGCAUUAGUUAUGAUCUACUAACAAUGUUGGAUAGGUUUUUCUCGCAGAACUUUCAUAAAGUUCAUUGCCCGGAAAUUGUCCUGUUCAGAGGGUUAGAAACUUAUAUGACUUAUUACUACAAACUAACAAAUCUUAUAGUCCAAGUUAAUAUUAUUCAAUUUUUGACAUACAUCCAAUGUGGACAUGUAUUGACUAACAAACUGGUACUCUUCCACCGAGGAAACUCCAACCAUAGUUCCAGAAGUUUAUAAACGGCACGUUGCAAAGUUUCAGUUCUGAACCAAAACUAGACUUGCAUGCACCAAGAACAAUCAGCUAAAGACUAGUGAAUAGUGACCUGACCUCUACAACCCAGCAACAUACCUCUAUAAAAAGCAAAUUAUUGCUCUUCCAGAAUCAGAUCAGCCCAAAAUUCACGGUUUCAUAUCAACCAGAUGGGUUGGGCAGUGGUGUUGGCCAUCCUCAUCUCAUCGGUUUUGCAUCCCUUGUUGCUGACAACUUUAGCUGAUGAAUCCGACAACAACCGAGACGCUUUGCUCUGCCUCAAGUCUCGCCUCUCCAUCACCACAUGGAACACCACCUCACCAGAUUUCUGCAGUUGGCGUGGUGUCUCGUGCACAAGGCAGCCACAACUACCAGUAGUGGUGGCCUUGGACUUGGAGGCACAAGGCCUCACCGGCGAAAUCCCACCCUGCAUGUCCAACCUCACCUCGCUGGUGCGAAUCCACUUGCCGAGCAACCAGCUCUCCGGUCAUCUCCCACCAGAGAUUGGCCGGCUCACUGGACUCCAGUACCUCAACCUCAGCUCCAACGCGCUCAGCGGAGAGAUCCCGCAAUCACUGUCGUUAUGCUCUAGCCUUGAGGUCGUGGCACUGAGAAGCAACUCCAUUGAAGGUGUGAUCCCGUUGAGCCUCGGUACGCUCCGCAACCUUUCCUCUCUAGACUUGUCCAGCAAUGAACUUUCUGGUGAGAUUCCACCUCUACUCGGGAGCUCACCGGCUUUGGAGUCUGUCAGUCUCACCAACAACUUUCUCAAUGGAGAAAUCCCGCUGUUUUUGGCAAAUUGUACCUCACUUCGCUACCUUUCUCUACAAAACAACAGUCUUGCUGGGGCCAUACCGGCAGCUCUUUUCAACAGCUUAACCAUCACAGAAAUACAUAUUUCGAUGAACAAUCUUUCUGGGUCAAUUCCACUUUUCACAAACUUCCCUUCAAAGCUCGACUACCUCGAUUUAACAGGGAACAGCCUAACCGGAACUGUGCCGCCCUCAGUAGGAAAUCUCACACGGCUUACCGGUCUGUUAAUUGCGCAAAACCAGUUGCAGGGAAACAUUCCGGAUCUAUCCAAGCUAUCAGACCUGCAAUUCCUUGACCUCUCAUACAACAAUCUAUCAGGGAUAGUGCCACCAUCUAUUUACAAUUUACCUUUGCUGAGAUUCCUUGGGUUGGCCAACAAUAAUCUUCGAGGAACACUUCCUUCUGAUAUGGGGAACACUCUUUCUAACAUCAAUUCAUUGAUCAUGUCUAACAAUCAUUUUGAGGGUGAGAUUCCGGCAUCGCUAGCCAAUGCCUCCAGCAUGGAGUUCCUGUAUCUCGGCAACAAUUCGCUGAGCGGGGUGGUUCCUUCCUUCGGCUCCAUGUCGAAUUUGCAGGUUGUAAUGCUGCACUCAAAUCAGCUAGAAGCUGGAGACUGGACAUUCUUGUCAUCCUUAGCAAAUUGUACAGAGCUGCAAAAGCUGAACUUGGGUGGAAACAAACUAAGCGGUAAUUUGCCGGCUGGUUCUGUAGCAACCCUGCCGAAAAGGAUGAAUGGCUUGACUCUGCAGUCAAACUACAUAUCUGGCACCAUUCCCUUGGAGAUUGGGAACCUGUCUGAAAUUUCCCUACUUUACCUUGAUAACAAUCUUUUCACAGGGCCUAUACCUUCUACUCUUGGCCAGCUAAGCAAUUUGUUUAUUCUUGACCUAUCCUGGAACAAGUUCUCUGGAGAAAUUCCACCUUCCAUGGGUAACUUGAAUCAGCUGACGGAAUUUUAUUUACAAGAAAAUGAAUUAACUGGAAGCAUACCCACAAGUUUAGCUGGCUGCAAGAAAUUGGUGGCACUAAACCUUUCCAGCAAUGGCCUCAAUGGGAGCAUCAACGGGCCCAUGUUUAGCAAGUUGUAUCAGCUGAGUUGGUUACUUGACAUAUCACAUAACCAGUUCAGAGACUCCAUACCUCCAGAAAUUGGUAGCUUGAUAAACCUUGGUUCCUUGAACCUUUCGCACAACAAACUCACAGGUAAAAUUCCAUCCACACUUGGUGCAUGUGUCCGGUUGGAAUCACUGAACUUAGGCGGGAACCACCUAGAAGGAAGCAUUCCACAAUCACUGGCAAACCUGAAGGGUGUCAAAGCAUUAGAUUUCUCCCAAAACAAUUUAUCCGGUACAAUACCAAAAUUCCUUGAGACAUUCACUUCACUGCAGUACCUAAAUAUGUCCUUUAACAACUUUGAGGGGCCAGUUCCAAUAGGUGGAGUCUUUGACAACACAAGUGGUGUUUCUUUCCAAGGAAAUGCACUUCUUUGUUCAAAUGCUCAAGUCAAUGAUUUACCCAGGUGCUCCACCUCGGCAUCUCAGAGAAAGCGCAAGUUCAUUGUUCCAUUGUUGGCAGCUCUGUCAGCUGUUGUUGCAUUGGCCUUGAUCUUAGGGCUGGUUUUCCUGGUUUUCCAUAUUUUGAGAAAGAAGAGGGAGAGAUCAAGUCAGUCUAUUGACCACACAUAUACAGAGUUUAAAAGGCUAACAUACAAUGAUGUAAGCAAAGCAACGAAUGGCUUCUCUCCAACCAAUAUAGUUGGUUCUGGGCAAUUCGGGAUAGUGUAUAAAGGUCAGUUGGAUGGAAAAGACAGCUCGGUUGCUGUUAAAGUAUUCAAACUUAAUCAGUAUGGUGCAUUGGAUAGCUUUAUUGCUGAGUGCAAAGCUUUGCGGAACAUCCGGCACCGAAAUCUCGUGAGUGUCAUAACUGCAUGCUCAACUUACGAUCUGAUGGGGAAUGAGUUCAAAGCUCUGGUCUUCCAAUAUAUGGCAAAUGGUAGCCUUGAGAAUCGACUUCAUGCUAAGCUCCAGAACAAUGCUGAUUUGAGUUUGGGAACAGUGAUAUGCAUAGCAGUAGACAUUGCGUCUGCUCUGGAAUACCUUCAUAACCAAUGCACCCCACCAGUGGUUCACUGUGAUUUGAAGCCAAGCAAUAUACUCUUUGACGAUGAUGAUACUUCGUAUGUCUGUGAUUUUGGGCUAGCAAGGUUAAUUCAUGGUUAUUCAUCUGAAGCUCAGAGCAGCUCAACAAGCAUAGCUGGACCAGGGGGGACUAUUGGAUACAUCGCUCCUGGUGGGUAACUAAAACUAGCCUGAAUUACUAUUUUACUUUUGAUUAUAGUGCUUGUCAUAACUUUUUGUUUCCAAUCGCUGCAGAGUAUGGCAUGGGCAGUCAAAUCUCAACUGAGGGCGAUGUCUAUAGUUACGGAAUUAUACUUUUAGAAAUGCUAACAGGGAAAAGACCUACGGAUGAAACAUUCGGUAAUGGCCUUACACUCCAGAAGUACGUAGAUGCAUCACUUUCAGAAAUUGAACGCGUUCUUCGCCCCAGUCUUAUGCCAAAAAUUGGAGAUCAACCUACUAUUACCCCCAAAAUAGAAGAAUACAGGGCAACUACAGUGAUGCAUAUCUGUGCUCUGCAACUCGUUAAACUUGGGUUGUUAUGCUCCGUCGAGUCACCAAAAGAUCGCCCAAGCAUGCAUGAAAUUUACAGCGAAGUAAUUGCUGUAAAAGAAGCAUUUUUCUCAAUGAACAGUUGAGAGAUACACUACACGCCUAGAACAGUUUUGAUAUACUGCACAUAGAUUUAUGUCGCAAAUAUUUCCGUUUAUUUGGAUUGUUUUCUUCAUUCUAAAGGCCAGGUACCAAAUUGCUGAAUCUUUUUAUGUAAAUUUCACUAUGCAUUGAUGUUAAAGGCCCGAGCUAUUCUGUCAAUUUGAACUUUUCUUCAGAGAUAAAAGGCCGGUAGCUCUGUUUUCCUAUUGCUUUCAUCAAUGCCAAAGCAACUUGGCCUCCCCGCACAAAUGUGUGGGGCGGACAAUAAUCAAUAUUUACAGCUGAAAUCUCUGCAUUGGUGUUGGAAGUUGCUUCUUUUCUAACCAGAAGUCUCUCAAUUUGCCUCACUGCUAAAUAGCCGAAACACUAGCUAACAUUCCUGUAUGAUGUGUCAAGUUUGGAGCACCCAGUAGGCCAGUACUGGUACUAGUAGUAUUGGUGGUGGCUGCAACGAAGCCCAAUCUCUAGGGACUGCGACUACAAGUCCGAUUAAUCCUGGUUAAAUCAAGUUUGAAGCAAAAACUGUACAAGAUCGAUACGGUAAUUUUGGUAUUUGACACGGAAAUAACAGGACUAGAAAAGAAAUAGCAAACCCUAGGUGCUCACUUUGGCCUCAAUCGGGAAUGGGGCUGCCCUGCACGUCGUGACGAUGGCCGUCGGCCGCGCAAGGCGGAAGGUGGCCGCUGGACGUCGACCUUCGCCGGCGUGGUCUUGGCGCUCCGCGGCAGCUUCCUGCUCUUACUUGUUGUCCCGCGGCCUGUUCCCUGACUCGACUUCCUCCUCUAGUACUAGUACUUGAGAGGCGCAUAGUUAGAAAGAACAAGACCAAUCCCGAUUAGACUAGCAUGUUGUCAUUUUUUAUAAACGAAAACUCUAUGAAAAUCAAAUGUUAUAGGCGAGAAUCGAACAUUCCUGGGCUGGCUGCAAACUCCCGCGCCAAAUCAACUGAGCUACGUCACUCUCUGAGAGGCGCAUAGUUGCAGACGAGACGACAAACAAGAAAGCUUAUUUUGGAUUUUGGACUUGCUUUUCCUUUCUUAUUUUCUAUUUUUUUGAACACAAAAGAAUAUUCACGUCUGUUCCGUGGUAAACCGAAACGAAGACAAAAUAUUAAUGACUAGAUUCAUUUUCUUCGAACAAAAAUGGGAGUAAUUUGAUAACACCCGAACGUCAAGUAUGAACACAUGGCAAAUCAAACGUUUACAAUGACAAAUGUAGUUGGUGCAAGAAUUGUAAAAUUAGUUAGCAAACAUGACAAUUUUGUGUAAAGAAUUACCAUGUGCGUUAAUUAAAGUCAUCAUCCUCAAGUCAACUAAGGUUUAUCCAUAAGGUUAGGUACUUACCAUUUUCGAAAAGAAAACAGAAUAAUUUCUUGCGGAGGAACAGGAACAAGAACGGCUUUAUUUUUAAAGGAGUAGUACUCACGAAAGAUAACUUGCUCAGGGCAUGUAACUGUAGAUGUUAUUUUUGUAUCAACAAUGAAUCUAUCAAAUAUCUCUUUCUCGAAGGUUCAUUGGCUAGACUUUUAUGACGUACUAUUCAUAUAGCUUUCAAUAUAACCCUUCAUUGAUUAUGAACACGUUAUUUGGGACGUGGCUUAAUGGAGUGGAAGUUAACAAAGCUAAACAUAUUUGGAUAGGAGUAUGUGCAAUGCUAUGGGCUAUAUAGAAGAGUAGGAAUGAUAUGAUUUUUAAUAGGAAAAACUUUACUAAUUUGUUGCAAGUCAUAGAUAGAGCAAUUACUUUAAUUCGUAUGUGGUCGUUACUCAUGUCUGCGGAGUCUAUUGAGCGUUUGGUUGCUGGGUGCAACAGGUGAGAAACGGCAGCGCAGGCUAUCUUCAACCGACAUGGAUGACGACAAACUAAGGGCUAGGUGUAUACUCAUCGUAGUAGUCUGUGUUGAUAUGGCCAAAUGUGGCAUGUAAUUUCCGUUUAUUUCGAGCCUUCGUGCUCUAGCUGAAUCUUGCACUUUGUUUGAACUCACGUGCUUAAAUAAAAUGGCUGCAUGGCCGGCGGCUAUUUUCCUUUUCAAAAAAUAAAAUAAAUUUGGUUGCCUACGUGAGUUGUUGUGUGAGGCCUAAUCCAGCGCGCAACAGUGAACAGUUUGUGGCCGGCACUGACGCUAAUAUCAGCCUCCGUGUACCCGUCCAUGAGAAGGCCGGUGAAGCUCCUGCGAAAGGAGUCAGCUCGCCCCAUUGACUCGCUGCAUAUGCGUUGCGAUUCUGGCGUCCUACCUCAGCCUCAGCCUCAGCCUCCGUGUUUUCUCCUUUCGAGGAAUCGAUGCCCGCUGGUCACCACGAGUGGACGUCUCCUGAUCAAAGUCAACCCACAAGUUAAGCUAAGCUAAUCCAAGCUAGGUAGUAGCACUAAAAGGAAAAGGUUGCCCCAUGCUUGCACGCUAAUGGCCUGCAGCACAGCACAACACGAUUUUUGAGAUGAAAACUGUAGGGGAGCAGCACGUACAAUCCGUGUACUGAUAGGCUCUGGCUGUAGUAACACGAGCAUGGCAGAGCGUGCCAGCCAUGUUAGAGCAUCUCUAACGAUCCCGCAAAAGUAGUCAAACUCUUAAACUUUUAGGUUUUAUAAUUUUUAAUCUAAAAAAGUGUUCAGAACAAAAACGUAAAAUGGUUCAAUCCGUAAAAUUUUUCAUGGGCAUGAAAAAGUAAUAUACGAAAUCCUUAUAUUUGAAGAUUGGAAGGCCGAACCGAGGGGACCCCGUAUACCGGUCAAACCUCGUCGGAGCAAACACGACGCCGUGGAGUUUAUCGGAAUCCGUCCUAAACUCGUCAGAAUUCAUCACCGGACACCGAAAAAGGCUGCUAGACGCUGCAAUCGAUCGCGGCCAGUUCGAAUUGGACGAGCUCGACCUUCUUUCAUCUCAUCUACAAAUUACUAAUUUAGUGUGUACUUGUCUAUCCUUCUGUGAGGGGAUGACGGAAUAUAUAUGGAGUUUGGGUGUAACUGACCGAAGAUGAAUGCAAGGGCUUUCUUCAACCUGAUAGAAUAGCGAUCCAACAGCAGAAUUGGUGAUUGAGUUGUUUCUCUUCUUACUGCCUAAUUAUUUUUGAGCAUCCUUUAAGUAACACUUAAAUUUUCAAGUGAUAAAGCGUUUUUAUUGAAAAAUAAUUUUGAACGUGUUGCUCCAACUUGUAUUCUUUAUACUUUAUACGGCUUUCUUGAUGUUGCUUACUUAAACAUAAUAAAAAUGCCAGGUAACCAUUUUUGCAAAUGACAGUCAAGAUACGGAUUGUUCCUCUCGAUGCGGAUUGUUCCUCUUCCUCCUUGCAACAACGUGAAUUCCUCCUGCCAUAGCCCAAUCACCCGGCCGGUCUCAACAUCAGAACGCUGCAGCGUACUCUUUCCCCUGAAAUCUACCGAUCCAAAUUCGUUUUAUCAGCAACUAAUGAUAAACAGAAUAUGCAUUUUUAAAGGUAAACGUUCAAAGUUUCGGAAUUGUUGUUUGUAUGCCAAUCCAUCGGCUAGGGGCACGGAGACCGAUAAAAAGAUGAGAUCGAGGUCUUCCCAAGCAAAGACUACUAGUAGCAUCUUUGCCCCCAACUGCAGCAAACUCGAUCGCAGCGCACGCGUUCCUCGAUCGCGUACACAUGCGACGACAUGCCGCUCGGUGCUACUCGCCUACAAUUUCAUGCGUGUGUGUCAUGUCGCCAGAUCCACGAAUGCCGGUUAAUUAAGCUCCAAGCCAGGCCGCGCUUUUGCAUGCAUGCCCCGCCCCUUUCCUUCGUCCAUUCGCAUUAUGUAUGUACUUGGAGAAAAGUUUAGCAAGUCAGAUGACUGCGCUGGCACACCGUAUUGUACUUACUGCCAUGGUUUAGCGAGGGCACACGCUACUGUACUUGUUUGACAUUUUGACGAAUUAUUAAAAAUGUUGGAUUGAUAUAUUAUUACUAGACUCAAUUAAUUUAGAAUGCCGCUAGAGGAAGUACUCUAUAGGUGCUAGCUAAUGUGCUUUGUCACAAUGGAGUACAUUUUUUUGCGGGGUUUGUCACAGUGCUAAUUACCACUACAUUUGUCCUGGUUUACUAUUUCCCUCGUAUUUUGAAUUAUAUUUUUACCAUGACUUUAAUUAGUAAAAUAGGUAAUCAAAAUAAUAUCACUGAAAACUACCUUCCAAAUACGAAUCCAACAAUAUAAUUUUUGGAGCAUGCAUUAAUAUUUUGCUAGUCAAAUAUAUCACUUAAUUUUUGGAGCAUGCAUAAAUAUUUUCCUAGUCAAAUAUAUCACUUAAUUUUUGGAGCAUGCAUAAAUAUUUUCCUAGUCAAAUAUUUUGCCUCCAUGGCUCCAUCACUUAAGCCAUCCAUUGUUCACUUUCAUGUUUGUGUACACUGGUGGUAUCCACAGUGAGGAGCAUCGACAAUAGCUUGAGAUGGUGUUUGGAUACGUUUGAGUCCCAUGACUAAAAGUAAUGAGACUAAAACUUGCUAGCCUCACCCAUGCUUGGAUCCAAGUACUAAAGAGACUAAAAUCAAGUUAAUGAGCAUUUAUUAUCCUCCAAACCCUCCAAUCCAGAACUUGCAUGAGGAGUUAAAUGAGGAGAGAGAGGACUAAUGCACAUUUUAGUAGGGGUACCCCUGACUAAAAGAUUUUAGCCUCAAGACUAGUUUUAGCCUCUCUUUAGUCAGGGGUGCUUGGAACUUUAGCUUCUCAAAGAGACUAGUUUUAGUCAGACUAGUUUUAGUCUCUUGGAUCCAAGCACCCUCUGAGAUGAUUUGUACAUCACCGGGCUCACGGUCCAUGUCUCUAGUAGAGGGGGAGUGAUAGGGGCAAGGGUAGAGAAACAAACUUAUUGACUACGGUAACAUGGCGGCGGCGUCCACUCCAUCAAGGCCGUUGGCUAGUUUUUGCCACCAGGAGACCCAUUGCCGCCUCUACUCGUGCCACUGUCUUUGCCUAUUCUAGGGGGCAUUGAUCUCUUCGAUGCCCCUUGAUAUGUCGGGUAGAACAAUGUGUUGAAGGCUAAUCGAGAGGGAUUUAUGCGCACUGAGCUUAGGAGGAAGUAGACCUAGACAAGGAUGGCCCGGCCCGACAGGCCGGACCCGAAGCCCGAUGUCCGGGCCGGACUCGACACCUUCCAGCCCGAAGCCUGGUGAAAAAUGAUUUUAAGGAUUUUAUAUAAAUACAUGGAUAGUAUAAUAUAGUAUAACUAAUCCUCAAAAAUGUUACAUUGCUAUUUUAAAACACAGAAACCAUGCGUUUUUGGCGUUGUAGGCCAGNNNNNNNNNNNNNNNNNNNNNNNNNNNNNNNNNNNNNNNNNNNNNNNNNNNNNNNNNNNNNNNNNNNNNNNNNNNNNNNNNNNNNNNNNNNNNNNNNNNNCUAGCGACGGGCGCGCGCGGGAGACGGUGGCUGCGGCGAGGAACGGCGGCGAGCAAGGCGGCGCGGGGUGCACACGGGAGAACGAGGUCGGAGGGGAUCGGGCAUGGGAAACAGGAUGACGGCGCGGGGGAAAGACGAGGAAGGACCGGGACGAGGGGCUGAGGAGGGUGUCGCUAGGGUUGGACAGGCAGCUGGGCCUUGGGCCGGCUGGGCCGCUCCUCUUCUCCCUCUUGCCUUGGUGUUUUUUCCUAUUUUUAAAGCAGGAAAACUCAAACAAAAAAGGGUUUCAACAACAAUAAAAGAAAUAUUUUUACUCCUUUAAAACAAACCCCAACUAUAAAAUAGAUUGGGCCUCUUUUUUAAAAGAAAUAAAAUGAAACCCUUUUUAAAGAAUAAAAUAAAACCCUUUUAACAAGAGAAUAAAAUAAACUCCUUUUAUCAAUAAAAUGAGACUCUAGUUUUGAAAUAAAACAAAAGAAAAAAUAAAGGAAACCCAAGGGGUUGCCUCCACAUUUAAUAAAAGGGUUUUUAAAAGAAGACGAACCUAUUUAAAAUAGGGGUUAAAACGGAAACUUUAGCAAAACCACAAAAAUGAAAUAUGAGGGAGAGAAGGUUUUAGGUCCGCGGUGCAACAGGAUUUUAGGUGGCUCUCACGCACCCACUCUCAUCACUCCAACAAAACAACGCCACUCACAAAGCACUAACACCCAACAACACGAAGCACAAGCAACACCGAUAAAACACAGUUGACAUGAUGUCAUUCAUGAUGCGAUGAUACAAACUAAAUGAAGAGGCCACAAAAUAAAAUAACCACACGACGAAAACGGAAAUAAAGGGGAAUCUUCUGGGCGUCGGCAUCGGGCUGUCACACCCUUGCAACAGAAACAAGAAAAUCAUUAUGGCUUGCAUUGCACUCCACAAUUUUAUUAGACAAAGUCAAUUCGCCGAUAAAGAUUUCGACUUGUGUGAUCAAGAUGAAAAUUAUGUACCAUUGUCUAUGCCAACGACUACAACAAAUGAUUCAACAAAUGAGAUGGACAGUGCUGCUAUAAAUCAAUUCAGAGCUUGGGUCGCUGAUGGGUUGUGGUCCUUGAAACAACAAUGAUAUGAACAAGUGUUCUUCGCUUAUGUAAUUUGUGUUAUCUCGGUUGUUAUGUACUCUCUCUUAUUUUGAUUUUAUGAACAAGUGUUAAUUCGUUUGUAUGAACAAGUGUUAUUUUGGUUGUCACUAUUGUGUAAUUCGUUUGUAUGAACAAGGGUUAUUUAAACAAGUGUUUUAUUAUUAGGGGUAAUAUGGACUUAUAAGUCCCUGUAAACAAACAGGUAGGGACUCGGGACUUAUAAAUCCCUGUAAACAAACAGGUAGGAAAUCGGGACUUAUAAGUCUGUGUAAACAAACAGGUACAGACUCGGGACUUAUAAGUUGGGACUUAAAAAAGUCCUAUGACUUACGAAACAAAUAGGGCCUUAGCCACACCAGCGCCACACUUACUCACAUUAAGAAAACAUACUCUCUCUGUCUCAAAAUAACUGUCUUAACUUUGUACUAACUCUAAUAUAAAUUUAUACUAAGUUUAAAACACUUAUUUUGAAACGGAGAGAGUAGCUUUUUAACGGGAAAUGACAACUCGCUGUUUAAGGACAUCAGUUCCAACGCAUAUUCUUUGGUACAUGUGUUUCAUUUGACCAAUUAGAAGCUUGUACAUACAAGGGAUGGUCCGUGAAUCGCAGCUCUUCCAUUUUGUUGAACCUGCGCGGUCGUAGUUGGACGGCUUGAAAUUGGAUUGGACACCAUUGCAAACGAACCGUACGUCUUUGGAUGUCUCGAGCACCCUGUUAAUCUCCAUUCAUGGAGUGAAUUGCAAGAAAUCACCACACUUGGGGCAUCCUUUGCGAAAAACAAUGGGGUUCUUAAUAUUUUGCAAAACGCACCGUUGUUUGGAUGAUUAAAACCCGUUUGAUCACUUUCUAACAAGUGGGACCUGGUUGUAAGGAGCUGACUCAGCAAACAAUUAACACAUACACCCCUAUAUCGGAAAAAGAAAAGCAAUCAACCUAUUCACACGUGCCGGCGGAGGCAAGCCGCACGACCCCACCGUCCGGCCUUCGGUGCCGCCGUCCCUCCCGACAAUCAGCAGGCGACUCCCCUACCUCUACUCCGCCCGAUGUCGGCGAGCAGCAGCAGCUCCACCGUGUCUGUCCUGUGUCGUCCGAACCACGAGCAGCAGCAGCUCCACUAGCUAUGGCACGAGUGUACACCGCGUCGCCCUACCCAACCUCCGGCGACGCAACCAUCGGGAGCAACAGCUCUACCGCGUGUGGAGGACGGGGCUGCUUCAUCGGCGUCUAGGUGAGACGUGUGGUGGUCCUCGGUGUGGAUGUGCAACCUCCUAGCGCCGCCCCACACAUGUCCCUCUUCGUCGUCGUUCCUGUUCGUCGAUGCACGACCUCAGCGGCGCCCCAACGGCGCACCUAAGCAUUAACAGGCGAGGUCGGGAUCAGGGUCUCCCUCCUCCCGCAGCCCCGACGAGCGCGGCGGGGCGACUCCCCUAAGGCGUAGGGGCGAGCAGGUGAAGAGAAACAACGGCAAGGCCGACAGAGCUUCGGCAGCACAACGGUAGGGCCGGAGCCAUGAGCUCGUGGCUAGGGCGAGCCACCGGCCAGCUGCGACGGCCAGGGAGGUGGGAGGCCGCACCAUCCCGUUAGCAAGACUAGGGGGAGGGAGAUCAUCUCGCCGGAGGCCACCUCAAGGUGGCCCGCCACCAUCUCGGAGGAGGCAGGCGACGCGGGUGGGAGGGGGCUAGUUGCUUUUUCAUUUUCUGAAUAUGGACGUCUUUGUGAAAUCCAGGGAGUAGUGUAUAUCAUUUUUUAUCAAAUCAUCUCCUUACAAUCUCACCCCACUUCUCAGAAAGUGAUCAACCAGGCUAAAUCACCUGGUUAGUGAAAUUUGCAAAAAAAAUGUUGUGAAUCUACUAUGUGUUUUACAAAAAACGAAGGACCACGUAGUUUUCCACAAACGAAGCCACAAAUGUGGUGGUUUCUCAUGCAAUUCACUCGCAUUGAUGUAUGUGUUCAACACUGAAAUGGUUGAUGCCAAACAAAAUGAUCAGAUUUUAUUAAACUGGAUAGGAUUGAAUCCUCGGCACAAGAACAAUUUCUUGUUUGUGCAUCCCACGGCUAGGAAGGCAGAUGACAGGGUCUAGAACUUAAUUACUCCCUUCCUUCCUAAAUAUAAACAUAAGUCUUUUUAAGGAUUCUAAUAUGGACUACAUAUGAAGUAAAAUGAAUGAAUCUAUAUAUUAAAAUAUGUCAAUAUAAAUUCGUAUGUAGUUUAUACUAAAAAUUUAAAGAAGACUUAUGUUUUUGUAUAUGAAAAAACUUUCGUGUUAAUAGAGAGAAAUUUGACCCGAACAAAUAUAAGUUUUAUUAUUUUUCUAUUUUACGAUUGUGAAAUCUCCCCUAAUAAUAAAGUGCGCAAUGCUUCUGUCGCCCGUCGUCGGUCAUUUUGCAGAAAAGCCCUCACAGUUUCAGUUAAUUAACCCGCAGUCCAACUUUAAGUCAGAACGAACCUAACCGUUUUUUGCAUUUUAUAGAAAACUCCCUGAUGUUUCAGGUAAUCAACCCGCCGUCCCUAUUUAAGUCAACCGAAACUUUUUUGUUUUAACAAAAAAAACCUGACUUUUCAGUUAAUCAAUCCAUAUUUUAUCUAAAACAAAAUUAUCCAUAUCUUUUAAACCGUAACUCCGAUUUUAACAUGUUAUAUAUGAAUUUUGAUUGAAAAAAUGUGUAGAAUCUAAAUAGGAUGUUAUUUUUAGCUGUUAAAUACUUCUUAAAUAUUAUUUUUGAUUCAAACUUAAUCUGUAGUGCACGGUCUUUUUUCUCUCUUUCCGACGACCAUACGAAUUUGCAAUAAAUAUUCAUUAAAUUAAAACCAAAUUGAGAGGAAAGAAAACAUCGUUAAUCACACAUGCACACCUUUGGAAAAUCUCGUGGGAAGAAACAACAUAUUUCUCAUCUUAUUCCGAGUGAUUGUACAUUCAAACGCGUUUUCGUUGUGUGAGCACUGAGGUCAUUGUCGACAACACAAAUGUUAUGCCAUGUGAAAAUAUAUUACGUUUAAAGCGUGUGUUAUUUUCUCUUCCGUUGCAACGCACGAGUUUUUUAUAUUAUAUAACUAUAAAGAUUUGGGAUUUUUGUUGGGAAGUUCCGUGACAAUAUUGUACGUACUAAUUUUCUCUUUGGGCAAGUGGCUCCAUAUCUCUUAAAAACCACGCGGAGAACGAGCAGCGGAUCUUCAGCAGCAAGAUUGUACUUCCACACGUUGGACUUUUCUUUCUCUUGGACUGUUCAUACAGAUACGGAUACGGAUUCUCACUAACUCAUUGGUCUUGGACAGUUCGUACGGAGGAAAAAGUCCAAUUUCAACCUUUAAUAUGUGAACCAUUUUAUAAAAUCUCUCAAAAAUAGAAAACGUGAUUUUUUUCAAAAUCGGAACAUUUUUCAAAUUCGAAAAUAUUUUUGGAUGCGCGAACAUUUUUCUUGUAGUUGUGGAGUGAUGCAUGCAUUUGUUCUUAUAGUUGUGAGUAUAUUAAGACUGUAGCUUAAGCUCUACCUGGUCAGCAUUUUUUAAAUUUGUUAAUAUUUUUCAAAAAUGACGAACCUUUUUUCAAAUAUUUCUUACAGUGUGUUGGGACAAAUCCGGUCAGGCGAUGAACGUCGAAUAGCCUACAGGUACGCAUAAUACACACCAUGACAACCCACACAUACACGUACAUCCACACGUAAUAUACAAUAAAUAUUUCGACUACAUACAAUGAACUCUAUAUAAUAUAAGUGAAAAUAAACAGGAACAAAAAAGAAAAAAGAAAUCAAAAAUAAAAAGUAUAAAAUAUAAAUUGAAACAGAAAUAAAUUCGUGAACUUUUUUCUCACUUUUUUAAUUCCGUAAAUAUUGUGAUGUUCCAUAGCGAGAUGGGCCUGACUGGUCUGGGCCAGUCUUUUUCGCGCGUGCGCAGCUCAAUCCCGGUCAAGUCAGCAAUCCUAGUUUGUCAAAAGAAUCCAGGGUUCUUUUAGACAAGGAUUACAUAGUUUAGGGUGCAAUCGACAGGGAUUUCGAGUUGAAGGUUCAUUUCGUCGAACCUCUACAAAUUCAGGGUUUAAAAUGAACUUUUUCCUUCAUACGGAUACGGAUUCUCACUAACCACAGGCUACAUCGGUACAGCUCCUGGACCGGCUGCUUGUUAAGCUGGGGAUAAUGGGGCGAUCAGAUUGGUGAGAGCAUCUUCAUAUUAUGUUCCCAAAUCUUCCCUCGUUGUCUGCAUGGGGGAAAUAUUAAUACAAGAAACAUUCAAGAAAAAAAUCAACGGAGAAAUAAUAGCUCCUCACUGCGCAGUGCGUACAAAAAAACCAUCCUUGUGCUAAUAAUAUGCCUAUAUAUAGACCGAACUAGCAACGUGCAAGCUCAAAACUAACAGCAAGCAACCAUGGCUUUUUAUGACCAACAAUUCAAGAUUCUCGAGGUACCUCCAAUCGUGCAAGAGCUUGUGGGCGCCGGCGUGAAGGAGCCACCGAGCCAGUACGUGCUUCCCGAGCAAUACCGUCCCGCUGCGGCGGCGGUCUCCGAGAUGCCCGAGCCCAUCCCCAUCAUCGACCUCAGCCGGCUCUCUGCCGGCAGCGCCGAGGAGUUCGACAAGCUGCGGUCCGCGUUGGAGAACUGGAACCUCUUCCUGGUAAUUAAACUUCUUUUCCCAUUUUCAUUUCGGUUGUGUGAUGAAGUGGUCAUCUCGAUCUCAUCUCCGGCCGAUCUUUCUCCAGGCUGUUGGACAUGGAAUGGAGCCUAGCUUUCUUGCCGAGGCGAUGAAGGCCACCAGAGAGUUUUUCAACCUCCCAAUAGAAGAGAAACAAAAGUACUCGAACAUUGUCGACGGCGAGAAGAUGAGCAUGGAUGGAUACGGUAAUGACAUGGUCGUAAAAGAGAAUCAGGUCCUUGACUGGAACGACCGGCUUAAUCUCCUCGUGGAACCUGAAUCCCUAAGAACCUACAGACUCUGGCCAACGCAACCCCUUCUUUCAGGUACUUAUUUACCGUCUAGCUGUAGGUUUUUACAGUCUAUAUACGGUACGCAUGCUGCUGCAGGCUCUGCUAUCAUGCAUGCCCUAUUUUUAAGCUGAUACGUCAGUAGUCUGGCAGUUGAUGAUUACUACUCCACAAUUGUGCAGAGACGUCCUGUCUGAAUACACGGUCAGGUGCAAAGCGGCGACCAACAUUGUCCUUCGAAACAUGGCCAAGAUGCUCAAUUUACAAGAGGAACACCUCGUAAACAUGAUCGGCGACAACUCCAUCACCCUAGCUAUAUUCAACUACUACCCUCAGUGUCCAAGGCCAGACCACGUCUUGGGCCUCAAGGCCCACACCGACGGCUCAAUAAUCACCAUCAACUUCGCCGAUGCCGAGGGGCUCCAGCUUGAGAACAACGGCGUCUGGUACAACGUGCCCAUUGUUCCAAAUGCAUUGGUUAUGAACAUAGGAGAUAUAAUGGAGGUACUUGUGUCUACAGCCAGCUACAUGUAUAAUAGUUUGACCUUGUUUUGUGGAUUGUCAAGCUGAGAUAUAAUACAUCUCUCUAUUUCAUCCUUAUGCAUGCAGAUUUUGAGCAAUGGGGUUUUCAAGAGCCUGGUGCAUAGGGUUGUCACCAACGCGGAGAAAGAGCGCUUGUCGGUGGUGCUGGUUUAUACGUUGGAGCUAGAGACACAACUUGAGCCGGUGUCAGAGCUAGUGGAUGACAAGAGACCUGCACGAUACAUGAAGAUCAAGCUCAACGACUACAUGGAAAAAUUCCUUGACACUUAUGCCACUGGGACACUAGCCAUCGACGGCGUGAAGAUCCGAAUAUGAUUCCGUUGUAUGCAAAAGCUCGCUGAGUAAGAUCUAUGAUGAAGUAUCUUCCGUUGACCAGUUUUAACGAGUUUAUAUUUUCACAUAUUUUCAAGAUUUUGUGUGUGUACUCCUCAUGUAAAAUGUUGGGCAGCUUGUGUGGCCGCAUUAAACCCUAAUAUAAAACGUAUCCGCUGUGGGCAACGUACGGAUGCAAAGGAUGGAAUAAAACUUAUCGAUUGUGUGCAACAUGCGGAUGCAAGGAUAGUUUUUCCUGUUAGUAUGUAUCAUUGAUAAGUACCAUUGUGCCUCCGUUUCAAGAAAUUAAGAGACCAUUGUGCCAUGAAAAAUGUGGGUUAACAGUCAGAAUUUCAUGUGUAUCUUUCCUGAAAAAUAGACACCCACUACUAUAGAGUGUGACAUAAAUAGACACCCACUACUAUAGAGUGUGACAUGUCAAUAGCUUCUCGUCGGUGAUUACGAUGUUAGCAUUAACUAGUCACACUACUAGGAAAAACCUUAUAGGAAGGACAUGAGUAGUAGCGCUAGAAAAAGAAAACGCUGCUGCUAAUUAGCAGUAGCGCUGAGCCAGCUGCAUACACCUUAGCAGUAGCGCUGCUAAUUAAAAAGGCGCUACUACUAUGUGGAACCAGACGAUGCCACUGACGGUAGCUGUAGUAGCAGCGUUGCCCAAAAUCCAGCGCUACUACUAAGUAUUUAGCGGUAGCGCUUUGUUUUGCAGCAUCGCUGCUGCUAGUUGGCUCCACUUAGUCGUAGCGCUCGAUGGUGUGCAGUGCUACUACUAAUAGAAUAGCAGCAGCGCUCUCUGUUAUCCAGCGCUACUGCUAGUUGCGGCUGCCCACCYCCUCCCCCCCCCCUCCCCUCCCCACNNNNNNNNNNNNNNNNNNNNNNNNNNNNNNNNNNNNNNNNNNNNNNNNNNNNNNNNNNNNNNNNNNNNNNNNNNNNNNNNNNNNNNNNNNNNNNNNNNNNAGGCCUCCGGUCCCGGCCCCGCCCUCGCCGGCCACCACCCCGCCUGCCUGUCCCCAGCCACUUCACCGUCGUAGGCCCUGGCAUCUUCCCUGCUUCCCCACCGGUCUCUGCUCCCAGUCGCCCCCGCCGGUCCUGGCCCCAUUGCCCCCGCCGUCCACGGCCUCGUCAUCCCCUGCUGCAGCUCCAGUGAGCACGUGCAUAGUGGAUGGUGGCAAGGCAGCUAGGCAUGCUGGAUCUCGGGCUGCUACACCAACCCUCCUCUCUUGUAAUUUUCUACGAAGCACCGAUACUUCAGAAAUUUGUGUAUCGCCGUUCAGUACUUCACCGAUAUUCCGAUACUUCAGAUACGCCUUCGAUACGGGUAUCCCCGAAGUAUCGUCAUUUCCAAUUUAAAAGAAAUGGCGAUACGCGUAUCCUCAAAGUAUCGCCAUUGUGUAUUGCCCAUGCCUUGAUGUAUCGUUGAUCUGUUCAUAUACAUAGUGCACGUGGAUUGUACUAAUGUAGUAGUUGGAUAAAAGUGCUUGUUAAGAAUGUUACUUGUGCAAUUCAUUAUUUGACCCACUCGUGCAAUCCAAAGUUGCUCUUUAUAUAUGUUUGUCAUUUGACAAUCUCAAGUUUUUAAUUUUAAAAGAUUUAUUAAUUUUAUAUUAUCGUGUUAAUAGAUAUUACAGUCUAAAUUGUAUUGUGACAGUCUAUGAUCAAUUGGUCGUAUUAUUCAUUGAUGAUAGUGAGAUUUUAAAAUGAGAAACAAUAAGGUAUGAAAGUAAUUAGGCAAUCAGUGGAUCGGUAUUUUGUUAUCAUCUCAUACAUUUAUUUAUGUUAGUUUUUAUUGCAUGUUAUUUUAUCAUUAUUUAUAUAUGCCUGCCGUAUCGCCGAAUUACUGUUUUUAGAAAUUGUCAUAUCCCGUAUCGCCGUAUCAGUGUCGCCGUAUUGGUGCUUAGUAGGUAAUUUUUAGAUCAACGUGUCCUGUAGUUUGUUCAUGUGUAAUAAGUUAGUUUUGCCUUGUAUCAGAAAGUGAUGAUGUAAUCGGUGUAAAUAGAGUAAUUUUGUAUUGUGAAAUUUAUUCAUUUGUUGUUGAUUCUUGAACGAAGUGUUGAUCGAUACUAUGUUCUUCUUCGUCGUCAGUUCGUGGCCGCCUCUACAAUUGGUUAUUGGUUCAUAAUGUUCUAAUAAAAAAUACUUUGAUGUCUUAUUCUCUGAGGCUGACUGCAAAGACAAUAUUGAGGCUGAUGACAAAGAGUUGACAUCGUCCGUUAGCGUGCGGUUCUGUUAGACUGCCUUUUUUGUCGUCUACUUUGUAACAAAUGAUGGCAAACCAUUUUCAGCAAAAAAAAUUCGUCUACCCGAUCGAAUACUGACGGCAAAAUACCUCUUUGCGGGUGAUAAGACCUCGAUGACGCCUAGAGGGGGGUGAAUAGGCUAUUUAAAAACUUCUUCGGAUUUGGCUUGAAACUAAUGCGGAAAUAAACUAAGAGGGUACUUGUCAAGCACAAAUCCUAAAUGCACUAGGCACUACAACGUGUAUCAACAACACGAUCUACCAAGAUGGACACAAUACAGUUACUAACAAGCACAAGUAAGUUACACAAACUUACUUGAGCUAUAUCACCCGACAAGUAGGUGAAUAACACAAGAUACUAGAUCACACUAUAUCACACGAUAUAUCAAGGGCUGCAAGUAUGAACGUGUGGAUAUAGAGGGUAUGCUUGAAUGAUUAAUCUUGUACAAGAAAUAGCCCAUACAAUAUAAUGAGCACAAACAAUAUGCAAUGUAUGUAUGCUCAUGUAACACAAGUAAACCACAAGUAAGGAGUUAGGGUUAAGGAUAACCAAGGUCACUGAGACGAAGAUGUAUCCCGAUGUUCACUUCCUUGAAGGGAAGCUAGUCACCGUUAGAGAGGUGGAUGUUACCACGAAGGCACACCAAUGCCACGAAGGCUCACCCUAUUCUCCCUUUGAGAUAACACCACGAAGGCGUUUCUCAACCACUAGUCGUAAGCCUUUGAGGUGGCUUCCAAACCCUCACAAACUUUUUCGGGGAGUAAUCACACGGAUUGAUUCCUCUCCGAAGGACUCCUACCGCCUAGGAGUCUCCAACCUCCAAGAGUAAUAAGAUCACGGGGAAUGCUCAAAACUUGCUCAAAUCUCAAAUAGCUUGGGUUGAGAGGAGGAGAGGGAGACGAUCUAUCUUUUGAUUGGAACAACUCUCAAAGGGGCUCACAAAUGCUCUUGGGAUCUAAGAUUUGGUGUGAGAAAAUGUGUGUGAGGUAGAAGUGUGUUCUUAUGAGGAUAAGGUUGUGUUGGGAUACCCUCUCACGAAGUGGGAGGGGGUAUUUAUAGUGGGGAGAGAAAACAACCGUUGGGGACACUUUAAGUCACAUAGGGUCCGGACGUCCGAUAGUUUCCGGAAGUCUGGGCGACCGCGAGGGGUCGGACGUCCGACAGGGGUCGGUCAUCCGAGGCCUGUAGAUAUCACUGAAAAUACUGUGAAUUGAACAGCGACCGGACGUCCGGAGAAGGCCGGAAAUCCGAGUUAUUCGACUCAACUUCUUCUGGUGCAAGGUUCCGGAUUUUCGAGGCUGGUCGGACGUCCGGCUCUCGGAUGUCCGGAGGGAGCCGGAAAUCCGAGUUAUAUGACUCAAAUACUUCUGUUGGAGGGCUCCGGAUUUCCGAAGCUGGUCGGUCGUCCGACCCUUGACCGGCCCUCGGACGUCCGGAGGGAGCCGGAAGUCCGAGUUAUAUGGCUCAAGUUUCUCUCGUGCAUAGUUCCGGAAUUCCGAAGCUGGUCGGAUAUCCGGGACUCGGACGUCCGGAGGGAGCCGGAAGUCUGAGUUAUAUGGCUCUGAUUUCUUUGGUAUAGGAUUCCGGAUUUCUGAAGCAAUCGGUCGUCCGGCCCUCGGACGUCUGGAGGAAGCCGGAUGUCCGAGGCACUGGUUCUGUUUUCAGAUAACAGCAGAGCAGUGGAGAUGUGGUCUGAGCAAAAUAGUGGAGAUGUAGUUUGAGCAAGUUCAUCGCAAAACCUGUGAUCCCCUCUUAAUAGUGCGGGAUCCCUAAAGACUCAAGAAUCAUAAAAGGGGUACUGAUGACCCAUGCUUGAGUGUAUACUUUUAUUCACUGAUCAUCACUCCGCACAACUAACGUCACAGGAACUGAUACCUUUGGGUUAGCCCUUUCACUUGAGCUUGAUGUUGUUGUUCCUUCUUGGCUCAAGUUGAAAGCAAGACAUGAUAAAUUCUUCAAGUAGCUCUCCCAUACACGAUGUGGAAAGCCUAGCUUAUGUAUUCAUCUUCAUUUGUCCACCAUGUGAACAUCCACAAGAAUCAAGCAUGUAGUGCUCAGGAAUGCUUAUCUUGAUCUUGUCCUUGUUAGCACAUGAGCUUGUCCUUAUCAACACAUGAUCAUNNNNNNNNNNNNNNNNNNNNNNNNNNNNNNNNNNNNNNNNNNNNNNNNNNNNNNNNNNNNNNNNNNNNNNNNNNNNNNNNNNNNNNNNNNNNNNNNNNNNAUGGGAAACAAAAAUUUUCCUACGCGCACGAAGACCUAUCAUGGUGAUGUCCAUCUACGAGAGGGGAUGUGUGAUCUACGUACCCUUGUAGACCGUACAGCAGAAGCGUGAGUGAACAUGGUUGAUGUAGUGGAAAGUCCUCACGUCCCUCGAUCCGCCCCGCGAACCGUCCCGCGAUCAGUCCCACGAUCUAGUGCCGAACGGACAACACCUCCGCGUUCAGCACACGUACAGCUCGACGAUGAUCUCGGCCUUCUUGAUCUAGCAAGAGAGAGGGAAAGGUAGAAGAGUUCUCCGGCAGCGUGACGGCGCUCCGGAGGUUGGUGAUGAUCUUGUCUCAGCAGGGCUCCGCCCGAGCUCCGCAGAAACGCGAUCUAGAGGUAAAACCGUGGAGAUAUGUGGUCGGGCUGCCGUGGCAAAGUUGUCUCAAAUCAGCCCUAAAACCCCACUAUAUAUAGGAGGGAGGGAGGGGAGGAGGCAGCCUCAAAACCUAAAGGUUUGGCCGAAAUUGGAGGUGGAGGAGUCCUACUCCAAUCCUACUUGGAGUAGGAUUCCACCUUCCCACUUGGAAACUCUUUCCACCUUGUGUUUUUCCUUCUCAAACCUUAUGGGCCUUAGUGGGAACUUAUUCCAGCCCACUAGGGGCUGGUUUAUCUCUUCCCAUAGCCCAUGAGACCCCUUGGGGCGUGACACCCCUCCUGAUGGUCCCCGGCACCCCUCCGGCACUCCCAGUAUACUACCGAUGAGCCCGAAACUUUUCCGGUAAUGCACGAAAACCUUCCGGUAACCAAAUGAGGUCAUCCUAUAUAUCAAUCUUCGUUUCCGGACCAUUCCGGAAACCCUCGUGACCUCCGUGAUCUCAUCCGGGACUCCGAACAACAUUUGGUAACCAACCAUACAACUCAAAUACGCAUAAAAAACGUCGAACCUUAAGUGUGCAGACCCUGCGGGUUCGAGAACUAUGUAGACAUGACCCGAGAGACUCCUCGGUCAAUAUCCAAUAGCAGGACCUGGAUGCCCAUAUUGGAUCCUACAUAUUCUACGAAGAUCUUAUCGUUUGAACCUCAGUACCAAGGAUUCAUAUAAUCCCGUAUGUCAUUCCCUUUGUCCUUCGAUAUGUUACUUGCCCGAGAUUCGAUCGUCAGUAUCCGCAUACCUAUUUCAAUCUCGUUUACCGGCAAGUCUCUUUACUCGUUCCGUAAUACAAGAUCCCGUAACUUACACUAAGUCACAUUGCUUGCAAGGCUUGUGUGUGAUGUUGUAUUACCGAGUGGGCCCCGAGAUACCUCUCCGUCACACGGAGUGACAAAUCCCAGUCUCGAUCCAUACUAACUCAACGAACACCUUCGGAGAUACCUGUAGAGCAUCUUUAUAGUCACCCAGUUACGUUGCGACAUUUGAUACACACAAAGCAUUCCUCCGGUGUCCGUGAGUUAUAUGAUCUCAUGGUCAUAGGAACAAAUACUUGACACGCAGAAAACAGUAGCAACAAAAUGACACGAUCAACAUGCUACGUCUAUUAGUUUGGGUCUAGUCCAUCACAUGAUUCUCCUAAUGAUGUGAUCCCGUUAUCAAGUGACAACACUUGCCUAUGGCCAGGAAACCUUGACCAUCUUUGAUCAACGAGCUAGUCAACUAGAGGCUUACUAGGGACAGUGUUUUGUCUAUGUAUCCACACAAGUAUUGUGUUUCCUAUCAAUACAAUUAUAGCAUGGAUAAUAAACGAUUAUCAUGAACUAAGAAAUAUAAUAGUAACUAAUUUAUUAUUGCCUCUAGGGCAUAUUUCCAACAGCCAGGCCCGUCGACUGUCGAGUACAACGUCCAGCGCCUCCCGGAAGAUCAGGUGGGAGCUGCCUAGGGGGCCAUGGUGCAGGCGGAGCUGAUGGCGGGAGAGGCCAAGAAAGCGUACGACUCCAUCGCGUCCGUGUACAAGCGAAGCUUGGAACUACGGGACGAUAUCCCAGUAAGUGGGCUAGUAAGUAUUUACCUUCCUCUUGUAACCCAGUGGGUGUUUGAGCAAUGCACUCGGAUAUUGUAUGAUUAUUUUGCAGUGGGUUCACUCUUAGUGAACCCACUGGGUGUACUCCCCGAGACCGCUGUCGACUGCUUGUGUCGGCAGGGGUCUGAAGAACUUAGAAAUUUUAUUGUUGUCCUUGUUGAAUUUGUCUGAUCGUCUCUUGGCGCUGACUUGUAGAAAACUUGCGAGAUGGGAGCAGCGUACGAGACUCUGAGGGCUGAAAAGGUUCAGUUUGCUGGGGAACUGGAUGCAGCAAUGGUUGCCUUGGCUGGUAUGAAGGAUGUUCUGGCUGAACGAGAAAAGUCCUUGGAGGAGGCCCGUGAGGCAAACAAGGCAUUGGCGGCUGAAGUGGAAAAAUGGGGAAACAAAGGACCGAGCUGAUGGGACAGAUGAAAGUGUUGAACAGGCGGUGCAUAGCACAGGAAAAUUACGUUAGUGACUGGGCCCGGAAGAUGAUAGCGCUUCUCGGUGGUAAGUUCUGUUUUUCCGAGUGCUUGUGGACUGUGCAUUUCAUUCUGUGCUUACUGUUUGCUCGCCCUGUCUUUGCAGAUUUUUGAAUGGACGUUGAGGCUGAGGCAGCUGACGUUGAGCGGUCGAUUCUUCUGAACGUUCCACUCGGCGAGGACGCCAAUCAAGAUAUGCUCCGAGCGCACAUUCGCGUGGGCAAGGUGGGGCCUUUCAUCGGUCGACUGAGAGAGGUCGUCAGCUGAAUCGACAAGGAGCUUUGGCCAGAAGACGAGUCUCGGCAGGAGAUGGAAGGCUUGAUGACUCGGCUAGAGGAGGUCCCGAACCGAGUGCAGGCGUGAAAGAAGUCUGCGGCUCGCUGUGGUGCGGACAUCGCUCUGUCGCUGGUGCGAGUGCACUGCAAGGAGGCUCGCGAAGAGAAGCUGAAGGCGUUGCAGGUCGCCAACACGAAAAGCUUCGAUUCGAAGACUUCAUGGAGACCUUCCUUGAGAGCGCCACUCGCAUCGUCGACGGGAUCAACCUUGACACAUUCAUGGAGCCUGCCAGUCCUAGUGCCAGUCCUGACGACGUUUAAGAAAACUUUUACCUCGGUAUGCCGAGUGUUGGUUGUAAGAAACUUUGGCCACUGCUGUUGGCCGUCACAUUCGUGGUUUGGUGUGGAUAAGCUUGAUCUACACCGAGCCAACUAUCCUUAGGCGAACUUUGAAUUUGAAUCGAAUCUUUGUCUCUUCUUUUGCCAAAGAGUUGUUGAUACGAUUUUGGCUCGUGGUUUUGUUUGGCGUUUCUUGGUGAAACCAAUGGCAAACAUGUGGAGCAUGUAAUUGUCAGUUGUCUUGACAUCUGCAUGAGCCUCACUGAGGGUCUGCUGAGUCUCCGAGUGGAUCUGUAAGAUACACUCGAAGGCAAUUGAGUGCUUAGGCGAUUCGUGAUCGCGGCUAAGUCUUCGUGUGCGACUGUAAGGUCGUACUCGGAGCGAGUUGUUACUCAUGUAAUUGUCAGUGGUCUUGACAUCUACAUGAGCCUCAAUGAGGUUCUGCUACUCAUGUAAUUGGCAGUGGUCUUGACAUCUACAUGAGCCUGAAUGAGGGUCUGCUAAGCCUCCGAGAGGAUCUGUGAGAUACACUCGAAGGAAGCUUUCUAUUUAAGCGAUUCUUGAUCGCAGACAAGUCUUCGAGUGCGACGUUAAGUGCACACUCGGAGAAGGUGUGAAGUUAGGCGAUUCGUGAUCGCAGCUAAGUUUCCGUGAGUGCGAUGGUUAGUGCACACUCGGAGAAAGCUAAUACUUAGGCGAUUCUGGAUCGCAGCUAAGUUCCCGAGUGCGGACGUUAAGUKCACACUCAAGAAGUUAGUACUUAGGCGAUUCUGGAUCGCAGCGUCGCUAGNNNNNNNNNNNNNNNNNNNNNNNNNNNNNNNNNNNNNNNNNNNNNNNNNNNNNNNNNNNNNNNNNNNNNNNNNNNNNNNNNNNNNNNNNNNNNNNNNNNNGUCUUGGGACUUAAGGCCCAUACAGAUGGCUCGAUAAUCACAGUCAACUUCGCCGAUGCCGAGGGGCUCCAGCUUGAGAGAAACGGCGUGUGGUACAACGUGCCCAUUGUUCCAAAUGCAUUGGUUAUGAACAUAGGAGAUAUAAUGGAGGUACUGUGUCUACAGCCAGCUACAUGUAUAAUUGUUUGACCAUGUUCUGUGGAUUGUUAAGCUCAGAUUUAAUACAUCUCUCUAUUUUAUCCUUAUGCAUGCAGAUUUUGAGCAAUGGGUUUUCAAGAGCCUGGUGCAUAGGGUUGUCACCAACGCGGAGAAAGAGCGCUUGUCGUUGGUGCUGGUCUAUACGUUGGAGCUAGAGACACAACUUGAGCCGGUGUCAGAGCUGGUGGAUGACAAGAGACCUGCCCGAUACAUGAAGAUCAAGCUCAACGACUACAUGGAAAAUACCAUGACACUUAUGCCACUGGGACACUAGCCAUAGACGGCGUGAAGAUCUGAAUAUGAUUCCGAUGUAUGCAAGCUCGCUGAGUAAGAUCUAUGGUGAAGUAUCUUCCGUUGACCAGUUUGUAACGAGUUUACGUUUUUACCUAUUUCCCAGAUUUUUGUGUGUGUACUCCUCAUGUAAAAUGUUGGGCAGCUUGUGUGGUCGCAUUAAACCCUAAUAUAAAACUUAUCCGAUGUGSGCARCAUACGGAUGUAAAGGAUGGAAUAAAACUUAUCGAUUGUGUGCAACAUGGG